ACGCCAUUCCCCCUCUCCGCCUCCACGCCUCCCGAGCCCAACAAAACCCUAGCUCCGGCGCCGCCACCUCGCCGUCCGGCUCCUCCCGCCUCCAGCAGCAGCAGCAGCAAAUGGCCCGCCCCUCCGCCGCCGUCGUGAUCGCCGCCUUCGUGGCCUUGGCCGCGCUGGCCACCGCGGCCUCCGCCGCCGAUUUGGCGCCGGCCCCCGCCCCGACCUCCGGCGCCGGCGCCCUCUCGGCGCCGCUCUCCGCUGUCUGCCUGGCCGGGCUCCUCGCCGCCUUCCUCCGCCACUGAGCCGGCGGCGGCCGCCUCGCCCGCGUGCGCGUGUCUUCGUCGGAUCUAGUAGUACAGUGGUAGUGAGAGUCUUAUUAGUGGUAGUAGCAGUAUUGUAGUGGUUGUGAUAGUGCCAUGGAGGGAGAGGCAUUUGUUUUGGUGGUCCGCCGGGCGGAUGGAUCUGAGGGUUUCGUGUGGGGAUUUUGAGAGGUUUUUGAGGGUGGAUUUGAUUAGCGUGGUUGGUGUGAGUCUAUUCCUAUUAUUUAGUCGCGUCUUGUGUACCUAGUGCUCACUGGCUCUGAGAGUAUUAUUAUUAUUGUUAUGGAUUUAUGAUAUUAUUAUUAUUGUUAUAUUAUUCUCGCGUAUCAUCUCUGUUCAGUUUCAGUAGAUUUAUGCUUAUUAUCAGCAAAAUUCACUGAAAUUUCAUAGAAGAUCACUGUCGCAAAAUCUUAAAUUCACGGUGUGUUAUGAGACCGAUUCCGUUGGGCAUCUGCCCUGUCCAGACACUGCGAGGUGUAUGGUUUUGGCAUGCCCUGCUGAGAAUCUGAGCAGAUUGAUAUGAUUCGAGAUGGAAUUUUGUGUGUGCGCGACAUGUGUCCCGGCAUGAAGGGAAGGGUAGAAAGCUUGAGACCGAGGCAGCUUAAAGGCUAAGCAAGCACACGCACGCAGUACGUGUGAGCGAGGGAGGCCGCGCCAGAGCGGAGAUGGAGAUGCCUGUACGGCGUGGCCCACCUGUUUGGGCAGCACAUGGGCAGCGGUUGGGGGUUCGUUGUGACCACCUGGCCGACGCCCCCGCCACCCAGAGGAAUAGCUCAAUCGCAUCGCGUUGCCAAGACUUUCCAGAAUUUUCUGCGUGUAUAAUGCGCCCUUCCAUACUUGGGAAUCCUGGGAAUUCCCCCUCCCAAACGACGCUAACCAGAAUACCAAACGACGCUAACCAGAAUAGGAAUCCAUCCACGCUAACAAAGAAAUGGGAAUCCUGAUGUUCCUUGGUACCCAUGAGCUUUCCAGCUGAACUCGUCGACAAAGAAGCCCAUCAGAAAACAAAACGACAUCUAAGCUAGACGCGAACCAUGUUCGGGCCAAAUGCCGGCCCUCUAAGCAUGGCCCAGAACUUAAUUUAUUAUACUCGAUGCUAAAAAUUGCUUUCAAAGAUUAUCCUAAAACAAAGAUAUCCAUCAAGAUAGCAAAAAGUUGAGAAUAUUUCAUCAGAGGGAGAAAGGAAAACAGCCAAACAGGCAUGAAAGAGCCGAUGAACCUGGGGCCUCAACUAAUUAUAAGCCUGAGGUCAGCAACAAUAAACUUGAACUUAUAAUCUUAUUCCUUUCCCUGACGAACUAGGCAUAUCGACAAGAUUAUCUGUUUAUUUGUGACAAGAAUCAAAACAAUUGGUGGACCAAAAAUGACUUUCUUCUCCAAUGGAAGGUCAUGGCAGCACCUAUACCAUAAUAUAGGAACUAACUAAACCGUUCAGCUUGCUUCCCCCCCCCCCCCCCCCCCCCCCCCCCCCCCCCCCCCCCCCCCAGCCUACCUCACGGACAAAAAAGAGAGAAGAUCUCCGAUUAGAAGCUAAUCCAAGUAGAAAAGCGUCACGAUCUUCCGAAGGUUCUUGGCCUCCUGGCAUGUCUCCAUCAGCAGCUUGCUGUCAUGGAACGCGAAGCAGAUCACCUGUUGGAUCUUCGAGAUGAUGUCCAUGUUGCAUAACCUGAAGGUUACAAGAGUUGCCAUUAAGCAUAAAGAUGAUAUUCAAGAAGCAAUACUGAUUUACAGAAAAUGUGACUUGUCUUUCAGUUCGUCAAAUAGGCAAAAAGACAGAUGCUCGUCGUCUAGAAUACAACAGAUAAACCCCAAAAGUUUACGACCUGUCGCCAUAAUAGUGUAGUAUCAACUCUGAAAAAUAAACUACUCUACAGCUACAGAUGCAUACCCUUGGCCCUUGGGCAGACCCCAAUCUAGAGCUAUAGUUCAUGGCGUCAACCUGUCCAAUGCUUGUUUCGCGUAAGUUCUGUAAAUGAGGCAUCAGAUACUCUUGCAGAAUGUACAGAACAUAGUAUUUGUUUUUCAUGGCAUUAUGAGGUUACUAAUAGUAUUCCAACCAUCUAUGUAACAAUCAAUGAGUUAAAAAAAGUGAUGUCGGUUUUCAUCAAAAGCAUAGUCUCUGACAAGUGCUGGAACUAAAUGAUACACUGAUCAGGCAUGGACCGAAUACAUGUAGCGACACCAUUGGUAACAAAAAAUAUACAAUAUAGGAAAAGUAUGAGCAAUUUCGAAAGGUAGCUGACCAACCUGCUAGCCUCAAUCAGUGGCAAAUGGUCAUACUGUGGUUUCUCAAUCAAAUUUUGUACCUACAAAGUAUACAAAACCUUACUGAAGCAUUUUAAAUUUUACCAUAUGGAAAUGGAACAUCAGGAGGAUGCUAUUUAACUCCUGAGGCAUGCUAUUGGAAUUAAUGCAUAUGACAGUGGAUGCCUAAUAAUCUCACUAUCUAGCCAGAAUCCUAGAUCAUAGGAUAAUGCUGAUGUUUUCUGAACAAUUGCAAGCGGGUUCUGGCCUGGUUGGCUAGCUCAUUGUAGAGCGGAGCUAGCAACCGCGGUUUGAAUCCCUGUUUGCACAGAUAUUAAGCCAUCUAAUAUGGCCGGGGGCUAAACCCCUGUAAUCGUUUUUUUUCCUGAAAACUUCAGAUGCCAUGGUGAGACAUUCCUAACCAAAUUGAUCGCAUUGAUUUUUAAGCAUAUUUACAAUCAAGCUUGAUAAAGAUAGCAACAAAACACCCUAAGGAUCCAAAAUUAAAUACAAACUUUCUUAUGUUUUCUUGUGUAAGAACAGAUGUACAACAGAACUGAAGGUUAAUGGUAACAGCAGAAUUAAUUCAGAAGCCUGCAGUGAAAAUAAAUAGAAUGCUCUCUUGGUGAAGGAUGAAUCAGGUCAACUAUUUAUCUUCGUAUUACUCUAUAGUCUAUACAGAAGAGCAUACACAUAACAAUAACGAAGCACAAUGUUCUCCUAAAGAAUGUUUACAUGUAUGGUCAGGGGAUAUCAAACUAAAAAGAAUUGGCUGUAAGACCUAACUCAGAGAUGAUAAUACUGUAGUUUACUGUAAACAAAGUAUCAUCAAACAUCAGUUCAUUGAUAGAAAAACACAACUAAGGAAGCUCAUGCAUUUGUCAUACAACCAGCAUCAUCAUGCCUACACCAAUUUGAAUAUCAUAUAGAUUACAAACAUGAUUCAUACACAAGCAUGGGUACAUCUUCUCCUUUUUCGUGGAGCACUAAGAAAUUCUGCAUAACUUGUCUCAAUAUGCUGAAUUUAAUGCGAUGAGCAGUCUAUCAAUACAAAAUCACUAAAUGCCAGCACUAAAUAUAUAGAACAACAGGUAUAUUGGCGCGCAUAGGAAUCUAUACGAAUAGGUCUGGAACUAAUUUUGACUAGAAAAUGACAAGUCAGAAUAGAAAUAUCAGGAAGUCUUACUUUGGACAACAGUUCUUGGCUUUCAGGAGGUUGCUUCUUUAGACUCUGAGGUAAAAUUACAGUAAGCAACUCUGGCUUUUCAGCUCUUAAAGCGCCCCUGAUAACAGCUGCAUUAGUUCCGGAAGCCCCAGAUGUGAAUAUAUGAUUUUUCUGCAAUUUCUACACAAAUAUUACUAACAAUGCUAGAGGACUCAAAGACCAUAUGAAUGGCAACAUCAAAUAAAUCAGGGAGAUCAUAUGAAUCAGUGAAUCACAGUAGCACAUAAAUAAAGAACAUACUGUUAUGACCAUAGCAUAGCUCAGGAUCUCAAUAAGCUGCUGAUGCAUAUACCCCAUGUUGCGGGUUCCAAAGAAACCUAUUGCACGAGGUCCUUGUUGCUGAAUAGCCAACAGCUCCUGCAUGACCACCAAUUAAAUGAGAUCAGUUUGCAGGAUAAAUCAAUUCAUAAACGCCAUGUAUACAAAGUAGCAUUCAUUAUUGAAAGUCUGAUUGUACUAAACUAACUUUCAGAGGUAACCACUAAAGUUAACUUUGAGUAAACUGAACAGAAAAAAACAAAACACAAUGUAAAAUGAGCAGAAACAUUACCUGUAGGUAAUCUAGAUCAGGGAUCGGCUUGUAUUCUGGUUCAGCAACCAUUGCAGUACCCUUGACAAGAGUCUCUGUCUGAGUAGGAAUCUUUACACCAUCAUCAUCUGGCCCAAACAUAAUAGUAUCAUCUCUUCCUUGACUCCUCACAUCACCUUCAUGCCCAUCUCUUUGCAUGUAUCCGCAGAGCAACUAUACGAGCACAAUAAAAACAGAACCUGGCAGUAAAUCAUUAGUGAAAACCAAAUAUAUUACAUCAUACUAAAUAAAGUUUCCAGUUUUACAAUUUUACUUUGCACCUGUGCUGAUUCUUCAAAGUCAGCUAGCCAUCAAGUAAUCCCAGAUCUAAAGUAACACCAUACCACAACAAGGGCCACAGCAAUUUAGGACACAACCUAAAUUCAGUGAGCGGAUUUGUAUACCCAUUUUAAACCCAACUUUCUGAAGACACAGCAGAAACUUUGAAUAAAAGAUACCAACAAAGGUGACGAGAAUCCCAAGCAUUGGAUUCUGAAUAAAUGUAAAGGGCAGGCUGAAUCCAAUUCAGUGGAGCAUGUAUUUAAAGGGAUCUAGAAGUGUAGCCUUUGAGUUGCACAGUUCACCCUUUAAAGGUAUGCUAAAGAAAAAUAAUACAAACACUUUUGACAUGUAAUGAUAAUAGCCUGCAACAUUUAUCUGCAAAAGAUGAUUAACUUUAUGAAUGGUGCAUAUCUUUACCAUCUAUCAGCCAGAAAGUUCCAUCAAUUGAGGUCGGUCCUAUUCUGAGGCGACCAUGACUUACUCUGCACCUUAGUCCCAACCGCGCACGGUUUGGAUUGACGGGAGCAUAGCUCAGAUGCAGGAAGGUGUGAAUGACAUUAAUAAACUUUAGGCACAGGAUCUAAGCAUCAGCAACACAAGCAGGAUCGCUUGUUACAGUGGACUGUUAAAAUAUCUAAUUUUGACGAACUUUUUCCUUUCCACGGUAAGAAUUUUGAGAUCUCAUUGCACCUAUCAAUCUACCAUGCUAUAUAUUUCUAUUGCAAUUAUGGUGUGACUACAGAGUCUGUAUACUGUAAGUACAGAUCACAGAGGAUUAACAUGCAUGUAAUCUUGAUUUGUGUCGAAUUUGAAGGAAUUAUGAUGGCAACCAAUAUCAAUACACACUCAAUUUGAGACCAUCUUGCAUUCUUGUCUGUCAUUUCUCUCUUUUUCUUAGAACGUGAAAUUACAAUCACCGCAGCAAUCCAAUCAAUAAACAGUUACGAGGAGGGGGAAAUUAUCUUUGGAGGUGAAUUCUACUCCAACCAACCCAUGAUAUCACACAGCGCACACAACAAAACAAGUUUAUAUGUAGGCAAAGUACCCGGUUCAGCCGUGCCACUGCCGGCGGCUGCUUGGUCGCCUGAGCCCAUCCCAGCAAGACGCCGCCGGGGCUCCUCGCGGCCGAGGAACAGUGCAAGAAGCCGCCGAGUCUCAAGUUCAUUCGCGGCGGCGUCCUCAACGAGGGAAGACCGCCAACGGGCGCCGCGGCGCAAGAACCCGCCAUCGUCAUCCGGCCGCCGAUUCCAAUCUACGCAGAGGAGGGAGGGGGAGAACCGCGUGAACUGCUGUGCGUGGCGGCGCUCUCGUGACCAAACCGAGGAUGGCCGCGCGGCGCGGCGCAGGUCAUGUCAGAGGAGGGGGAGGGAAUUGCUGGGUGGGCUGGGGAUGAGACGAGAGAGAGGGAGGGAGGGAGGGAGUGAGACUGGACUGGCUCAAGCCGGUUUGGUCCUCUGGCGGCCUCGCUGGCUGCUGUGGUGCGCUUGUGGGGAGGAGCUGGACGCCUUUGGAUAAAAGGUGGCGCACCACCUUGUUUGCCGUUUUUGCGUGCCUCUUCUCUCGACUCUCGUCUAGUUGUUCUUCUACGUUUCUUAUCGAGAAUACUCUUUCUUAUUUUGAUUUUUUUUGUCAGACUGUUUUAGGGUUUUUAUCUAGAACACCUGGCUUAAGGAUAGGAAAAAAUAAACCCUAUUCCAAAUUUCAGGGUUCAUUACUAUACUACUAUCACAUCUCAAAUUUCAUAUCAAUGAGUAUGCGUGCACUUCUUUUAAAAAUGCAUUUGUUUGUAUUGUUUCAAUCUAAAUCCAUGUGGUUGUGGCUAAGUCAAAGAGUCUAGCAAAGACAAUUGUUAGCCCUUACGCAAUCUUAUGAGUGUCAUUUAUACUGAGUUUUCUAAAAUUAAUGUUAUAUACUCCCUUAGCUCAGAAAUGAUAAUGUAUAUUUGAAAUUGGGGAAAAGUCCUUCAAAGUAGAUUUUGACUCUUAAUUUCUCUUAUAGUAUAAUGUUAAUAGCUUAUAAUGUUAAUAGCUAAAGACUCAAUAUCAUCUCAAAAAGACUUCGAGUAUAAAUAUAUUGAUGCAAAUUUUACACACUAAGUGUGCUUUUAAUUUAACUAAUUACUGACCAAAGUUUGUAGACUUUGAAUUUUCCUUGAUCAAAAUACGCCUACCAUUGGGAGUAAUUACAAACUACAAACAUUGUGUAAUUCAUCUACCAGUCAAGUUGGUAUUCAUUUGUUAUUUGUUUGAAGACUUCGGAAAUUCUGAAUUAUUUAUUUGAAGACUUCGGGAAUUCUAAGGUGACUAACCCUCCCUACUCUUGUUCUGCUUGGCAUAACACUACCUAUUUCUCACUAGUGUCCUUCAAAUCUCAAUUGUUUUCCCACAGUUAAAACACAUGUUCUAAAUCCAUAAACUACUACAUGAUAAAGGUCCACUCCAAGACUGGCAAGGUUUUGACCCAUCUAAUAAUCCUUUCAGUCUUCACUCUUCACAGACAUUCUUAAUGCUUAUAUAUUGAACUGUAGGUUGAAAUAACACCUGGUUCUGUUUGAACUUGAAUAGUUCAAAUUAAGUAUAUAGCACCUAUUGUAAAAAUAUCAAAAUGGAACACCCGGAUAGUUUCGGGCCUGAGUUUGGUCAGGUCUGGUUCAUGAGAAUGUUAGGUCAAGCCUGAGCUACCCAGUUGGGUUAAAUAACAUCUUUAAACCUUCGAAAACAAAUAUUUUAUUUAAAAUCAUUUAUUCAAAUAAACUCAUUAAAACUUAGAUGCACGGCUGCCGCCAGCAUGUGGGCUAGAAUAUUGUAUCCUUAUUUGGAACAGCUUCCCUAUUGCCUACUCCCUCCGUUCCAAAUUAUAGAUCGUUUUAGCAUUUCAAGGUUCAUAGUUUUUACAAUGUAUCUAGAUACAUACUAAUAGUUAUGAAUCUAGAUUUGCCAAAAUAACCUACAAUUUGGAGCGGAGAGAGUAUAUUCCUAGAACAAUUUUUCUAUCAACAAAAAAAUAGGUAUCUUAUUAGGAUGUAGUUUGAAACCAUGCCAAAUUGCAUAUUUCUUGUAGAUGCAAAAAUAAUAUAUUUCAUAUUUCUAUUUUUUUACUUUGUUGUAUUUUCUUUUUAUGUUUGGGGCUCUUUGGCUCUAAUGGAAGAAUAUGUAUUGUUUUGUAAGCCAAAUGUGUGUAUGUGAGUCAAAUACAUUAGUACUAAUGAUGAAUUUUUUGUAUUGUGUUAUGACAUGAAUUUGUUUUAUUGUUAAGAUCAAAUUAAAGGGUAUAAUCUCUUUGCCUCACAUGAAAUUAACAUUAUGUUCUUGUGUUAUUAAUUUGCCUUUGUGGACCAAGCGUAGCUUAAUAUAUUAGGUGACAUAAUCCACCUUGGUUUGAGGCCGAGUCAUAUUUUUCUGGAUUUAAUUUAGGAAAUAAUGAAACUAUGCUUUCGGCGUACGACGUGAGCAACAUGCAUGUCGACAUUGAUGUGUCGUGCUUAUAGUGUUGGGUUUGCAGGGUGAGUAGAAAUGAGAUUAAAAAAUAUACAUUUUCCUUUUUAAUAAGAAAUAAUUUGUUUUUAACCUUCUUCUUCUGUUAAUGGCUCAGUUUAGUUUUUCGAGUUUGGUUGACCCGCGACGAAUGGCAUAGGGACCUGGCAGGACCGUUCUAAGAUUUGGGAAGCCCGGGACGAAAGUAAAACUCGGGACCCUUUAAUAUAAACAUUAUAACAAAUAUAUAUGAAAUGUUACCAAUAAAUAUUAAAUGUAUGUAAAAGCAAUAUUCAUAUCCUUUUCUUUUCCUUUCUCGUUACCUGAUUCAUAUUUUCUUGACGACAUGGUAUCCUACCGUGCAGAAAUUAUUAUAAAUAAACAAUAGUUAUAAAUUAGUUGAGAUUAAAUAACUUGUGAUAGUGAAUUAAUAAUUAAUGGUAUGGGGAAUUGGCAAUUGAAUCACCUGAUCACAUAAGCGAAUUGACGAUCUCCUAUCUGAUCUCUGCCCGUCCGUCGUUGCAUCGAGGGGCGACGGGUGUGCGAUGCGAGCAGGAGAGAGGACCACCGGCAGGAUGAGGUAUUAAGGAUGAGGGGUGCGGUUGAUGAAUCAGGUUCUUGUUUUAACCACGAAGUGGGCCCACCUUAAUGUCACCUUUUACCGUGAACCAUUGUAGGCGGAGCAGUAACAAAUAUUAUCUUUUUCUGAGACCCCACCUUAAUACUAUUUGGAACGUAAGCAAUAUUCAGUCGAUUUUUAUUUCCAGAUCCGGUGAUGUGUCAAAUCCGAUUGAUUUUUUGUUUCUUGUCACUCGAUCUUUCUCUACUGCCCAUUAUUGCUACGUUGCUUCACCCUGUUGGUCUAAAAUUCGACUAACAGCAUCCCAGAUUUUACUCGAUUGUUACAUAGUCAUUCCCCUAUCUCUAUCUUUGUUCACUUAUUUAUAGAAGGGAUCAUGAAAUCCAGAAAUCUGGCCCAGACUAUACACAGAGGUAUAACCUAAUUUAUUUGGAAUACUCACACUGAGCUUUAUUGUUAUAUAUACACCAUGAAAUGAUCAGAUCAACAUGACGUGUGCGUGCUAUAGUCUUUGAAUCUAUGGCGUGCCCGCCGCGUCGCCGCCGAAGAGGCCCUUGUCGAACACCCAGUCCUCGAUCAUCUCCUGCGCGGCCCGCCCCUGCGCCGCCGGCACCAAGUGCCCGGCCCCGUACACGGCCACGUGCACGAGCGCGCCGUGCCUCUGCACGUACCCGGCGAGCCUCCCUCGCCCGCUGCCGCCACCUCUCCGUCUCCGCCACACAGCGCGGGGGGCGUCCCGGAACGCGGCCAGCCCGUCCCACUCCAGCUCCCGCAGCCACGCCUCCGCCGCCACCGGCCCGUCCUGCGCGUCGCGGAUCCCCUCGUAGAGGAGGACGCGCGCCGACGCCCCGGCGAGCAGCGCCUCCACGUCCGGCUUGGCGCUCUUCAUCACGUCGUCGUGGAACGCCGCGUCCACCGCCGGGCUUACCAGCUGCCACGGCGAGCCGCCCUCCGACGCGCGCCGCGCUCCCAGCGCCGCCCUCACCUCGGCGCUGUUCAUGAGCGCCUCGGCCACGGCGGCGGCCCCUGCGAACUCGGCCUCCAGGGACGUCACCACCGCCACGUCGAACAGCGACGCGAGCCCCGUGGCGUUCCGCAGCGACGACAGCAGACGCGCCCGCGCGUCCGACGCCUCGCGCCAGCGCGCCGCGUUGGUCAGCGCCACCGCCGCCGCUUGCAUCGCCUCGGCGUCGCGCUUCUGCUUGUCGUUGAUGAGCCCCAUGAAGUAGGCGGUGUCGGCGUGCGUGGCCACCUGCGCCACGGGGUGGACCAGGCCGUUGCCGAUGGCCACGCCCCGCAGGUUGAUCCGCCGGUGCUCCGGCAGCUCGGGGUUCGUGGCCAGUAUGAGCGAGCCGGCCGCGGGGAUGGACUUACCGGCGUAGCUCUCGCCGGUGAGGAAGAGCGGGCGCGCGCGGAACUCCGCCGGCUGGGCGUCGAAGAAGGACUGGAGCGCGGCGAGGACGUGCUCCGCGACGACGGACUGGUUGGUGGGGAUGGCGGAGGGAGACGGCGCCGAGCUGUAGCCGGUGCCAAGCGGGCUGUCGACGAAGAGGAGCCCGAAGCGGCGGUUCCACGCGAAAGGGUUGGGCGACAAGGGGGCGGAGCUGUUGUUGCGGCCGGCGGCGAAGGUGUAGGGGCCGAUCUGGAAGAAGUUGCUGACGAGGGAGGACACGCCGGGGCCGCCCUCGAGCCAGACGAGGAGCGGCGUGGAGGCCGGCGGGGUCACAGGGUGGGUGGCCUCGUAGAAGGCGAAGUAGAGAGAAGCGUUCGCCGGUGGGAUCGGGAGGUAGCCGGACUUGGUCGGGAGGGCUUCUCUGGGGAACAACGCCGCCGCCGCGGCUGAGCCAUGAAGGGCGGGGGCGAGGAAAAUGACGACGAGGAGGGAAAACGGGAGCGGAGAUGCCAUGGUACGUGUUGCCUGAAUGCUGUUGCGUGCCUGUGCUUGAACGUAGUCUUUCUUACACCAUCAUCAGAGCGCCCUAAAUAUGUUUACGUGGCUGAAAAAUCUCUGAAGCCUAGCUGACAAAAGAAAAGUCUCUCAGACGAGUUUCCAAACACGCGGCGCCACAGUGCAGGUGAGGCAGAAGUUCAAUGCCAGGUGUGCUCAGAUUAUUGAACAAGAACUCAAUUGUUUUGCGUGUGUCAGUCAAGCUCCCAUGCAUUCCCUGUUGGACUAGAAAGGUGAUGAGCUAGUAAUCAGUAGCAAGGUUGACCUGAUGAAUAGUGCAGUAUGCCUGGAUUUGUACAGGGUUCUGGUUUCAUUUUCUCACGACUACAACAAAAGCAAGUUCCAGUCUUCCACAGCCGCUCCUUCCAGAUGGUCGACCGUUCUGGUCAGUGAGAACAAUAUUUCUUCCCUGGUUGGUGAGCGGAGACAACAGCUGGAAGAGCUCUUGAAUCUAAUGCUGGAAUUUUGUAAGUUCUUAACUCAAAUGGGAGGCAAGAAAACAGAGACAGAGCAGAGUACUACAAAGUAGAACUAAAAAAACGACUAACAAGCACUAGCAAUAUUUUGCAACAACUCCCUCCGUUUCAAAUUGUUGGUUGUUUAAACUUUUCUAGAAUUAUAGAUAUUGUUAUGCAUCUAGAUAUACACUAUAUUUAUAUGCAUAAUAAAAACUAUGCACGUAGAAAAAUCAAAACGACUUACAAUUUGGGACAAAUACAAUUUGGGACGGAACGAGUAGCAAACAGCACACGUGCAGCUAUAUUUUUAGAAAAAAAAUGAUCAAUGGAGCUUGAGCUGUCUACAUAUAAUUUUGACUCGAGUUUGUUACGCCAUUGCCUGUACUUUGUACAGCUAUUGUCCAAGACUAGCACUCACAGUAGAUGCCAUGCAUAAGUAGCAAAUAUGAAUUUGAUUUAAUUUGAUUGCUUGCUAAGCACAGCAAGAUGGAGACCAGCUCCCUCGUGAACGAAGUUUUUUCUAAUCCAUUUGUCCGGAUAUAAUCAACAUUUAAUAUCACUUCUUCUGAUUGUAACGGUGCUUCAUUACCUUAAACAUGUACAAAUACUAGUGAGGCGUUCAGAACGAAUCACGUCAUGCCAAAAGAAAAAAAAAUACGGCCUCACUAGUUAAGUAGCAUUGCCAGAUUAAAGCAUUAUGUUACCUUGCUAUUAGUCAAGGUUCACAUGGGUGUGCUUAAACUAGGUUUCUAGGUUACGGUGAGCAUGAUGACAUAUACCAUAAGUUGCAUCGGAGCGCAGCAGCAUUUUCAUUUUCUUGAUUUAAAUACGAUAUCAUAUAUAUAUAUUAAGUUGGAACUAGGCUGAUUUAGAAAAGCCGUUACAAUGGCUAUUUUAGUGCUUGAAAACUAAAGAUUUAGAACUAGGCUGAUUUAGAAAAGAUUGUAUUGUUUACUUACAUUACUCAUAGGUUUAAGUGAACUAGCACAUACAAUGCUUAUGGCUCGAUGAUGGGAAAAAUCCAGUGCAAACUACUUCGGUGGAAACGUGAAAUUGUGAAACCUCCCCUAAAAGCCAUACCCUAAAGUUUCCAAAAAUUAAAAACAAUGUGCAUUCAGAAUAUAUUUAAAGAUUUACUUUGUUGCAAAAAUUAAGAUGCAAAUUUAAUGUAGAAAAAUCCAUACAAAAAUGACAGAAUUCGAAUGCAUGUGCACUAGGAGACAAAAUUUCUAGGCAUAUGUAUUCUAGUACACAAGCACUUGGAACUUUGUCAUUUUCAUAUGAACUUUUACAAAACGAGUUUGCAUCUCAACUUUGCAACAAAGUACAUCUAUGGAUGGAUAUAGAUGCGCAUCGUUUCAAAAAUUUUAAAAACUUCUAUAUAUUUUUUAAGAAGAAUUUUCAUGUUUCCACCGAAGAGGUGAUUUCCACUAAAUAUUUCCACAUAUCUACUCGCAACUUCAUCCAAGUAGAGGGCUGUUACAGAUACCCACCUAGCUCAUACCACCGGAGGAGCUGGCAAAAUUUGGAAGCCCACUACGCCCAUCGUUAAUACAUUUACCACGAAAACCAUAUGCUCCUGGUGAACAGAACAGAAGAUCCUGAGAGUAAUAAACAUAUCGGUUUGAACAGCCAAAUUAAAUUCCUUGGCCGUCAAGCUGGCGAUUCAUCGUCUUCGCGACAGCAAUAAGCAACCGCAGACGAUAAGAACUAUGAACAGGUUUGAAGAACCAAUUUUCCCACAUUAUUUGCUGACUUCAGCAUCGCGCUAAAUAAUACCAGAGUGCACAAUUAUUGAGCAAGCGAUUAUUAUGAAAAGUGCGCAAAUAUCAGAGUAUAUGUACAUCUGAUGAAUAACUUGGCGAAAGGUAAGGUGACCAGCCGAAAAUUCAGCUUCGAUGGCUCAAUCUAUUUGCACCAACUUAUGCUAUCAUUUGCAUUUCAUCAGAAGUCAAUGAAGCAGACAGUAACUAUCUACAGCUCAUCAUGGGUUUUUGCCUUAUCCAGGGUAGAAGCAGGCUGCUGGUGCUCGUGAAGAUAGCGAGCAGCCAUUGCUGCUUGUGCAGCCGCCCCGUAGGGGAGGGCAUCCUCGUUGAUGGUGAAGUAGGGUGAAUGAUGGGGCGCCUGUGGUCCGCGGGUCUCGUUGUACAUUCCCACAAAAUAGUAGUAGGUGGAGGGGAUCGCCUCGGCGUAGAAGGCGAAGUCUUCAGCACCCAUCAGCGGUUGCCUGUCCCUCACAUUCUUGGAGCCAACCAUCUCGCUGGCCACAUUCACGAAGAAAUCAUGGAGCUCAGGGCUGUUGAUGGUUGGGGGAAAGAAAGGGCGGUCCUUGGUGAGGAAGUCCACAGUAGCACUGCACCGCUGCACAGAUGCUUGAGAGACAAUUACCUGGGACAUGAAAGACAGAGAGAAGCUGAGGAUCUGCUGCAGGACAAUCCACAGUGAAAUUCAAGUAAAUUGUUGAAAAACUCUUGAGGGGAAUAGUGGGUAAUUCACACAGAUAAGAUGACUGUCAGAGUUAUGACCAUUGUGACCCGGACACUUCCAUCUGCUGACCUUCCAACACUUACUAGCUAUGAGAAAAUUUGUUUUGCAAGUGCAGUAAAACCAUUACUAAAGUGAAAGCUACAAGGCUGCAGCUGCAAUUUUCAUUAAAGUAGUGUAAAAGGAAAAAAAAAAUCUAUUAUGCAUGCUCAAACAACAAACUACACACGGUCCUGUAUCCAUGCAAUUAACCUUAUUCAUGAAAGAAUAAGAGUCAGGAACUGCUCUUGUGUUCAAGCUAAAAGCAGUACAAUCGAGUAAAGAUGGAGAAUAAGGGAAUGCCCCACAUUUUAGAUGCGCACCAGCUUAUUUGUUUAUCUGGUUGUAGUAUAUAUUUAAAUUGGAUAACAUCCCAGUGCCAGAGGAUGAGGUGACACUUACAAGUACCCAUUUUUCUACAGCUAUCAAUAAAAUGUGCAAAUUCAUCUAUUCAAUAAUUACUACUGUAGUUAGUCAUAGUGAUCUUAACAAGAAGUUCAAGCAGUCAUUUAUUUAACGCAAUUUUGAGUCCUUUUUCUUCCAAGAGAACCUGAUCCGCACAAAAUAAUUAAGAAACUGACUAUUCAGUUACAAUAAGUUCCCAAGUAACUAAUGCUGUUACCUCUUCAAUUCGCUGCUUCAAUUGAUUAAAACUCUCUUUCAAAAAGGCCCGGAAGGUGCCACCUAUUGUUACUGAAUCAGGGAUAACAUUGAAGGCCCCACCUCCUUGAAAUUUUCCAAUUGUUACAACCUGCAGAACAAAGCAUGGACCAAAGGAAACAAUUUAUAUACUGGUUUGUAAAUUUGCCAAAGGUUCAACAUAGAGAAAGUGCUAGUCAGUGCACUGAACAAACUGAUGGGGUCCUGGCCUUCUGGGAGUAACAUAUUGAAUAAACAGCCAAAAUUCAGCUUCAAUGGUCCAAUCUAAUUUUACCUAUUUCUGCUAUCAUUUAAUUUGUAUAUGGAACUAAAAAUUCCUCUAUCAAACAACUUAAGAGUGUAAAACUUAAGUUUUGAAUGUUAUAUAGUAAUGGAUGUGGAACAAUUUGUGCUGCCUAGUUCUAAUAAGUACAGGCAAACUUGGGCUGGCCUCCUGGGUUGUUUCCAUACUAAGAGCAGGAUAAAAAGUUCAACACGAUCUUGACCAAUUUAAAAUAAAUCAUCUACACACAUAGCAAAAUCAUUUUAUAAAAAAUUUUCUAUGCUUGUUCUGCAAUUUAGACCAACAGAACAGUACAUCAUGCAACUUCUGCGGAAGGGAGUUAUGUCAAUCAUACAAAUAGAUAUAGAGAAAGGUUGUCAAGAUCAUGAUUCAUUGCUUGGGAAUUUAUGGCAGGCAACAACAAAUUAAGUCGGUGAAGGGUAAGAUGGUACCUGUGAGUCCAAGGGAUCAGCUUCCCGGGAAACAAGUUGCUGAAGGCUCACAAUAACAUUUGAGGCAGCCAAUAUCGGAUCUAUAGUGUGAUGAGGAAGUGCAGCAUGCCCUCCCUUUCCACUUAUUACAGCCUCAAAGAAUCCACUCCCAGCCAUAAUAGGCCCUGGCCUGGAUGCCAGCACACCAAUAGGAAUAGAGUCAGCUAUGUGAAUCCCAAAAAUGGCAUCAAUAUUUUCCACUGCUCCAGCUUCUAUCAUUUUCUGAGCCCCACCACCACCUUCCUCGGCUGGUUGGAAAACAAGGACUACAGUGCCCUACAGUAAUCAACAUGAUAUUCAUAACCAUUGAAAUUUGUUCUAGGUGAUAAAAAUUCAAUGAUUACAAGUCAAUUCAUAUACUGAUAUGGAGGCAACUGAACUAAGUGAUUCGAUAAGGAGAAUUGCCGAUGGACUAUCAGGAUUAGUUGUGUGCUGUCUAAACAUAAUUACUCGCUUUCCCUAAAAACAGUAAUAUAAGCAAUUGACAAAAAUGCUAAAUCUAUUGCAAAAGGUUGACUAAAGAAAUGAAGUAUAGACGAAUAAAAAAAGGCAGAAAGAAACAAUGUAUUGCAUUUCACAGAUUUAAACCUGAGAUAAAAAGAAUGAACAACUUCCUUAGACUAAAAGAAGCUACCUCUUACAAAAUAUACACCCAUUUUAAAUUACGCAAAAUAUAAGCAAACUACCAAUAGAUAAUAGUAUAGUACGCUCUGCAGUCUUAGGGAUCAAGGAGUUAAAAACUAGGAUUGGGUAAUAGUUAUCAGACAAAUGAAUUUCACUUCUAUAUUUCUUUCAGAAAGAAAAUGCCAAAAAACAGAGUCUGCAUCCUAAUCAUUUUCCAAAUCUCCAAAAGAAGUGAGAACAUGUAGCUUAAUGCAAUUAAAGUAAGGAAAAGAUCGCUAUAUACAAAGUGUUAAGCAUCUUCCAUAGGUUUUCUGAAGGCUAUUCUCUAAUUAUUUAAUUAACACAUCUAUACAAGUGUUAAGCACUUUUUAUAGGUUUUCUGAAGGGUAUCCUCUCAUAAAUCAAUUAACAAAUCUCCCUAUCAUUGGUGGACAUAAAUUUGGAGGUGGCAGGGAUGGUGCACAGGGAUUAUGUCUACAAUACAUAACAGGUGCUACGUAAACCAUGAAAAUCUAUUAUAUGACCAACACAAAAACAAAGUAUCAAAUAAACAAGAUAUCUGUCUCUGGCUGUCUGCUGAAAUGAAGGAUUGGACAUACAAGUAUACAACUGUUGCUAAACCUCAAUACUUCAACAAUUAAUGGUAUAUCCAUAUUUAAAAAAAAUUCUGAUAUCUCACCCAAAGUUUGAAAAUAUUAAUUAUUUCAGAAAUUUUCAUCGCACAAUGAGAAACUUACAAUUUCGCUUUGCUUUAUAACUAAAGAAAAAUAUUUUAACCAACCUUCAACUCAUCACGAUGCUCCUGAAGGAUCUUGGCAGAUCCCAAGAGCAUAGCAACAUGAGCAUCAUGUCCACAUCCAUGCAUUUUCCCAGGAACUUUGCUCUUGUGUUCCCAUUCCACGCUUUCCUGUAAAAAAAGACAUGAAUUUUAACUUGGACAGAUAUAAACUAGUCGUAUCUAACUUUGGGCAAAUGAAACUUACCGCAAUUAAAUUUAUCAAUAAUAAAUAACUGAAAAUUGAUAAUAUGCAUUAUGCAAGGUUUAAAAUUUGGGGCUUAGUACAUUGAGAAGCAGCUCUCCACAUACCGAACAUUAAUCAAUUGGAUCAUAUGAAUAAUAGACCUAUUGCACCAGAAAAAUAUAUAUAUCAAUACAGUUCAAUAAGCACAUCAUAGUUAUGCAAUCUACAUGAAUCACAUAUUUGUCUCAUACUCUCAUCACUAAUCACCACCUGCAACAUGAUUGAAGGCUCACUUGACUGUCACAUAUGCAUAUAGGCAGCCCAUGUGAUUCCUCCCAGUGAGAAGCUAAAGUCUUUUCUCCGUAUGUUCCUAAUUAGGAGGGACAGGUAGCCAGCUAGGGAACUACUUAGGAGUAGGCUGGCACCUGUACCACCCUUUUCUAACCAGGAUGUCUGCCGUGAACUAUAUGCGAUAUUGACAAUUUCCUAGACCAUUUCGAUAUCACACGUGCUGGCCUAGGUGACCCUUGGUCAUUACUUUGUAUUGCUCUGCAACAAAUUUCAAAGAGCAAACAUGUGCACCCUUUCCACUGCAAAGGUUGCGCAAACCCUGGAAGAUUAGUUGCUUUCUGGUGCACCCCAUAAGUUCUUUGAAAUUAAGGUUUUCCUCUUCUCUUAAAUCAAUCCUCAGAUGCCAAAUUUCGCAAUAGGGCCUCCAAUAUACAGGUAGGCCGUUUUAUACCUACCAGGCUAGCAGAGCCUAUUAAGUACGUUGAUUGCAAAUUGACAGCAUUAAAAAUAUCGAACGAAAUGCAGUUUCCACUAUGCAAGCGGCUCCAAAAACAAACCCUUGCCAAACUAGAUGAGCACUACUGAGGACAAGAUACAAUUUUGAAGCUUGUGAUUGUUGUGAUUGGAACGAAUUCGAUAAAUAGACCAAGGACCUCCCGCCUCUAUCUUUAGCAAAACCAAUAUCUAUUUUCUUCAAUCAGCAGCAAAUUCAGGAAGCAGAGGAACCCAAAUAGCGGGCAAGAGCCAGCGCAACCGAAGAAGAAAUCGAAGGCAGCAACAGACCUGCAUCGGUAGCGCGUCCAUAUCCGCCCGCAGCGCGACGAAGGGCGGGCCGCCGGUGCCGACUGUCGCGACCACCCCGGUGACGGCGAAGGGGUGCUUGUAGGGGAUCCCCAUAGCGUCGAGCUCCCGGCGCACGAGCGCGCUGGUCUCAAACUCCUCGUACCCCAGCUCCGGGUUCUCGUGGAUGCGCCGCCGCACCCCGACCAUCCAGUCCGCGAAAUCCGGCUCCUUGGCCCGCCGCAGGAGCCCCGCGGGGUCCUCCAGCGCCGCCGUCGCCACCGAAGGCCAUCCCGCGGCGGCGAGGACGGCGAGGGCGAGGCCCGCCAGCAGGAGUGGCGGCGCAGCGGUGCCCAUGGUUUUUUUGUUGGUUCGGUUGCGCCUUGCGCGGUUGGUUUGCUGGUGAGUGAUGAACUGAUGAUGCGGAGGUCAGGUGAGGAGUGCGGCGGCUUCGCUUUUGACGAGGCAAACGCACACGACACGAGGGCGGCGGCUGAUUUUUGUUUCUUCUCCCAUUUUUUUUUCUUCUCCUUCCUUUUCCCUGCUUCGUGCUACUGCAUUUUUCAUCGCUCUGCUGGGGUGUGCGGUCAUUUCUGCUUUCGACCAAUUUUUCCUUUCUGGGCAGUCUUUUGUUCCGAGACGUUUUGGUUGAUUUGAUGCCCAUGGAAUGUGUCAUCUGAACGGAUGGUUCUUGUCGUUCAGCCAUUUGCAGGAAGAGGUCCUUGUUGCAGAGUGGUUGUGCUGUUGGUUGUCACCAAUUUUGCUUUGAGCAGCACAAUUGGAUAUUGGUCCCAAAUGGACAGCACAGGCCCAAGCCCAACCCAGAUCUAAUUCGCCGGUCCACACCAUUUCUGUUGACUUGUUGAGUGCUCCCGUUGUUUGUCAAUCUCUAUCUCUUCCCUAUCUCUAUAUCCAUCUCUUCUCUAGCUCUAUCUCUACUUAAUUUUAAAGCGAUGAAAGAGAUAGAAAUAUAUGUUGUACUAAUUUUGCGGACCCGACCUAAGCUCCCUGGGCUAAGCCACAGCCCGGCACUUGGCCUUGGAGCGCAUGGAGCCGAUUUUUGCAUGCCCAAAAAACGGUGUGGCCCAACUAAUUAUUUAACUUUUUUUUGAAAAAAGUCCUCUCGUCGUCCCUCAACUAUCAACUAUUGCCGUAGUCUGGGUUUAGUCCCUCAUAUGCAAAAUCGUAUUCGUAGUCCCUCAACUUCCAAAACCAUUUGGCUUUCUUCUCCCUCUCCUUCCUCCUCCUCCCUUCAUCAUCUUCCUUCUCCCUGUAUCCCCGCUCCCCGACGCUCGCCGCUGGGUCUUGGCUGCCCGCAGGUUCCAUGUCUACACCGAUUGACGGAUCCAGUCUCGAGCCGGCCACGCCGCAGUGCGGAGCCUGGCCAUGGCCGCACCAUCCCUUCCGCCCUUAGCGACCGCAGUGCCCCUGACGUCGUCCCAACCUCCUCGCGCCCCUAGGUCACCACCAGGGGCCAAGUUGUGCCGCUCGAGCUAGCUGACCAUCGCCGGGUUGGGGCCGCUCAUGUCUACGUUGGUCGGCGGAUCCAGCUGUGAGCCGGCGAUGCCGCAUGCCAUGCAGCCGCUGGGGUCUAGCCGUGCUUGCGCCAUCCCGGCCGCCUUGCACCCUUGACCACCACCGAGGACUAGUGCGCCGGGUGCUGCUUGAGAAGGGGAAGGAAGAGAGAGGGACGGAGGGAGGAGGAAGAGAGGAGGAAGAAGAAAUUCAUAUGGUAUGUGGAGCCUACCGCCACCUGUUCAUGUGGAGCCUACCGCCACCUGUUCAUGUGGAGCCCACGCGCAAGCCAUGCAAAAUCACCGUCAAAACGAGUGAGGGACAAAAAUAAACAGGUUCAAGAGUUGAGGACUCUGAAUACCUGAUUUUGCGUAUAAGGAACUAAAUCCGAACUACGGUAAUAGUUGAGGGACGUCCGGAGGAUCUUUUCCUUUUUUUUCAACUGAAAUGGUUGGUGGACCGAGCUUGGCCCAAAAAAUUCGAUAGUUCUGGCCGAUAAUUUCUUUUGUCGCCUUCGCCGAUGGCCAGCGCACCGGCGUGCGGCUCUCCUCUCCUCAGCAGCGGUGGCCGGAGAGCCGGACGCCGGUGGUCUCGUGCACGCAGAGGGCGCGGCCUCGGCCCUUGGGGACAUCGUCCCGGUCCUACAACCCCGUCCUGGCACAUGAACACGCCGAGUCCGCAGCCGUCCGCGCGUGAUGCGGUGGCAAAACCAAGCAGGCUCAAGUCCACAAGCGCAGCAGCCAAGAAGAGAGGAUAGCGACCGUAGGAGCAGCGUGCAUGCCGCCCUCGCGUGCCGCGGCUGGCUCGUCAUGACUGAUACGUUCGUUUUCUACUUCAUGCAUGUAUGAUCUGCUGGUAAUUAUCGUCGCAGCACAUUUUGGUCAAUGGUUCUUCUUAUUCGCCUUUGCAUGGUUGGAUGAUGGCGUCGUGAGAAAGCUUCACCAGUUCCAUCUCCAUGCAUGUGUUGCUAGGCAUUCUGUUUUUUUUUCUGCCAUGGAAUGUUCUUGGUUACAAAACUUCCGUUUGCACAUUCCCGCAAGAACAUUAACGUGGUGACUGGUGGGCAAUACCAAAUUUUGCGUAUGACUGAAACGAUUGUUCGCAGCAGCAAUCUGGGACGGAUCUAGCGGUGGGCGGUUGUGGCUCAAGCUCCUCCUACAGCUCCGGACGCAAUGGAGCCUCUCGAGUUCAGCCCCUCCUACAGAGGAAGAAGCGAUAAAAGAAAGCAAAGAAAGGAAAAAAAAGAGAAGUAAAGAAAGGAGACGAGAAAGGGUAAAGAAGAUCCUACAAUGUGCAUGAUGUUUAUGGCUGUAUUUAUUUAACUUGAAUCCGUCAAAAUAAGUUGCCCUGCAAUGUUGCUUUUGCAGAUUUUUGGAUUCGAGCUGUCAGAUUUUUAUCGUAAUACAAGGACAACCUCCAAGCUAUGAUCGAAAUAAGUUUUGUUCGUGUGACAUCAUAUUUACUAAAUCACAGAUUCAUGCGGCGUGGCUGACAUAAUGUGGCAUGGCUUCAUCGAUUAAGUAAAAAUUUGUUGGUAUUUUCCUAGUUAUUAAUAAAAUAUCAUAGCCUUGUGCCCACACUAUGGGCAGGGUGAAACAAAAUUAGAGUAUGAAUUCAAACCGCAUAGCCAUCAAAAUUUAAUUAACUGAAGUUCGUGGACAAUUUAUUUCAUGACCACUAGUACAUGGAUACACAUUUCAUAGCAUAGAGAAAAAUCCUACCGUGCGGAUGCGGAACAACCAUCAACACCACUGCCGCCGGCCCACUCUUUUUAAGAAGUAUAUAAAUAUAUUAAAAGGAGUAAAUAUUAAAAUAAAAUAUUGUCAAAUUUCUGCAUGUUAAAUUUGGCUUUAAUUUAAUUUCCAGCAAAAGAUUUUCCAUUUGGCUCCAGUUUUCUCGAACUACCGUCGCUCGGCUCCGACUCCGACUCCGCCCGUCGGUGGUCCAGCUCCUGGCCACCCACGCCGACAUCAGCGGCCGCGGCGACUGCGGCCGCUUCCUCGUCACGGAGUGCGCCGGGCCGAUGAACCUGCGCCAGCACAUGGAGCUCCGGCGCCGCGAUGGCCUGCCGUUCGAGGAGGGCGAGGUGCGCGACGCCAUGCGCCAGCUCCUCGCCGGCGUGGAGAGCGCGCAUGCAUGGCGCGGGCGUGCUCCACAGGGAGAUCGUCCCGUAGAACGUGGCCGUCGGCCAGGAGGACGUGGUCUCUGACGGAGCGGUCGUCGGGAGGAGGAUGGUCUACAAGAUCUGCGGCUUCGGCAUGUCGGAGCCGGCGGCGCUGGCGGCGGCGGAGAAGGACGACUCCGGGCUGCUGGCGUCGCCGAGCCCGUACCGCGCGCGGAGCCCUUCCUGGCUCCAAGGACUACGACGGGCGGGUCGACACGUGGGGGCUCGACUGCAUCAUGGCGGAGCUCCUCGCCGGCACCGGCGUGCCGUUCUUCGGCGGCAAGCUGGACACCGGGGUCCUCGAGAAGAUGCUGUACGUGGUCGGCGCCAGGGGCAUCGUCAAGUGGCCGGGGCUGGACCGGGUGGCGGCGCACGACCAGGCGGCGCGGCUGCGGAAGCUCUACCGCCGAGACCGCGGCCACCUGCGGCAGGUGUUCCCGAGGGAGGUGCUCUCUCUGGCAGGCUACAAAGGUCUUGAAAGGGCUGCUGCGGAGUCACCCUGAUCGCAGGCUGACGGCCGCGGGCGCCCUCCGGAUGCCAUGGUUCCGGCGCCGUGGCUUGGGUGGCUACUGAGCGGUCUUGUCAGCCAACUAGCCAUGAUCUGAGUGUUCGUAGGGUGGUUGAUUUUUCCCCAAGAUUUGUGUAGCGAGUAGAUAGACGUAAGGCUGUCCGCACUCGUCAUACUCUAUUUCCAUACUUUAUAAGGAAUAUUCUAUUCUAGUCAUCGAGAUUCUCUCCUCUAUAUCAAUUUCUCCGACACCCGUGUUACUCUAUAUCUUAUAUACUCUAUACCAACUACCACAUAUUUUAUUCCCCUCCCUCCCUCUCUCCUUCUACCCAGUCGUUCCCCUCCUCCCCGUCGGCUCCUUCCUCCUCCCUGCUGGCCCCCUCCUCCUCCCCGAUGGUGGCGGCGACGGAUCCAAUGGUGGUGGCGGAUCCGAGCGGAGGUGCGAGGGGGGUGUGGGGGCUGGUGGUGUCGGGAGGCGGGUAACGGACCAUCAGCCCUCCGCUUGGGUAGCGGACGCCUUCCUGCAGUGCAGGGUUUUUUCCACUACCGCGGUACUGGAGGAUCGUUUACAGGGUACCGGUGCGGACAACCUAAUGCUGUGAAAGAGUUAUAAUGAUGUAUGUUAUCCGUCCUGCUAGUAAUGUGACGUUCUUCGUCUUAUCACAAAUACUACAAGUUAAUUUAGGUUUUCAAUUCCCUAAUUCAAAUAUUAUAAACUUUAAUUAGAGAUUUCUAUAAAAAAUAUUCUUGAUAAAAGAGUUGCUGUUAUGAAUUCAUUUCAGAAAAAAAGUUGCUGUUAUGAAAAUAACUUUAUAAUCUGUGCCACUCAGGACUUUAGGGCAGCGCGCGUUCUUUAUUUUGUUGUGGAUCCCUGGGAAGUGAUUUUGCACUGCAGCCUCCAAACGGUAGCCAGUUCAUCGAACUCUGAUAGUUAAAUUUGACCACAGCAAUGGAGCUGCCCUUACUCAAAAUAGCCCACCAAUGCCAUCACCUAUCCUUACACAAAAAGCAAAGGACAUUAUCGAGGAUUAACAGCUAAAAGCAGCAAUCUAGCCCCACGCGAUGCAGGGAUACAAACAGGCCCAAGCUUUUACCAAUCCAUAUUUUAUAAGGCACAUACUACAUACCAUAUUUUUGAUAAUAUCUAACUAAUCCAAACAUGACCUUAAGUCUGACACAUACUCUCUCCAUAAAAAAAUCAAGAGUAAAUUUUAGGACAAAUAAUGAGGUAAAAUAACUUUAUUUGCCUCUAUUUAUUAACUAUAUUUGGUACUAACUGAUACCGUAUGCACAUGCACAUACCAAAUGUGACAGAAUGACUUGUUUUUGAUAAAUUUUGAAUCUUAGAAUGAUUAUUUUUUUGGACGGAGAACGUAUAGUAUUAUGGAGCACCAGGUGAUAAAUCUUGUUUCAUGCGAAAAAUGCAAGAACCAAGACCUAAGCCUCGUAAAAAUAAUCAUUUAGCGAACAAACACAUUAUAAAAAAACGGAUUGACCAUGUACGUUGACCGUAUAGCGCAGUGGAUAUCGCAUUUGACUACGAAUCAGAAGGUCGCGUGUUCAACGCCCACUGUGCCGAAAAUCGUAUGCUAAUGCUACUGAAGAAUUGAACAGAUGAUGAGCUGGCAAACUAGUUCCUGACCAUGAAAAGGCGACGUUUGCAUGCGCAUAAACUUAACAAGAUGAAGAACCAAAACUAAAUUACUCGGUAGUUCUCACCCAAAUAGUAAAAAACUGUCAAUUCAUCAUCUGCACAAGAUUAUAUUUACUCAUAAAUAUGACCGUAGCAUCGCACUAUUCCCGCAUGCCGCAAGAGAUAAUUAUCAAACUGCGCAAAUAUCAGAAUGUAUAUAUAGCUGCUGAAUGACUUGGCGAAAGCUAAGGCUCACCAGCAAAAAUUUCAACUUCACGGUUCAAUCUAAGGGUGCAUUUGGCCGAGCUUUCAGAGCUGAUUCUCUGCUGAAUCUAGCAGGAGUUCUGCCAAACAGUUUUUCAGAGAGAAGUGAUUCUCUAUUGAUUCUGUGAAGUGAUUCUCUGGAAUGAACUAAGAGGCUGGGACUGAAAAAAGUAGCUUCUCCGUGAAGUGAUUCUCCAUCAUUUAUACUAGAGAAUCAAAGAGAAUCACUUUCAACCAUAAAAUCACUUCUUUUGAAGCUCCCAUAGAGAAUCAGAAUCAAAUGGAAUUUAACCAGAAUUCAACAAAGCAGGCAGCAUCUAUUACAGCUUGUCACGGGCUUUCGCCCAGUAUAUAUCUACAGCUCGUCAUUGGGCUUUCACCUUGUCCGGGGUAGCAGCAGGGUGCUCAUGCUCGAGCAGAUAGCGAGCAGCCAACGCUGCUUGCGCAGCCGCGCCGUAGGGGAGGGCAUCCUCGUUGACAGUGAAGUAGGGUGAGUGAUGAGGCGCCUUCGGUCCACGGGUCUCGUUGUACAUGCCCACGAAGUAGUAGCAGGUGGACGGUAUCACCUCAGCAUAGAAGGCGAAGUCCUCGGCGCCCAUCAGUGGCUGCAUGUCUCUCACGUUCUUGGAGCCAACCAUUUCGCUGGCCACACUGACGAAGAAAUUGUGAAGCUCAGGGCUGUUGCUGGUUGAGGGGAAGACAGGGUCCUUGUUCAGGAAGUCCACGGUAGCACUGCAUCGCUGCACGGAUGCUUGAGACACGAUCACCUGGGACAUGAAAAACAGAGAAUAGCUGAGGAUCCUCUGCAGGACAAUCUACAGUGAAAUUUUCUUGAAGUAAAAUGUUGAAGAAAGAGGGGAGUAGAUGAGAACUCAGCACAGAUGAAUGUCAUUUCUGACCAUUGUGACUCAGUCACUUCCGCCUACUAACCUACCAACCUGUAAAAAACAAUGAAAACCUGUUUUCCAAGUGCAGUAAAACUAUUUCUAAGGUGAAAGCUACAAAUCUACACCUGUAAUUUUCACUUCAAUUAAAAUGUGAAAGAAAAACUUCUAAUCUGAGUACUCAAACAACAAAUUACAAGUGAGUCUGUAUCCAUGUAGCAUGUGUUCCAGUAUUGGCAGCACAUGUUCCUUAUCCAUAAACGAAAGUUUCUACGUGAGAGAAUAAGUGUCAGGAACUGCUCUUGUGCUCAAAUCGCCAGCAGUGUACAAUCUAACAAAGAUGGAGAAUAAGGGAAAACACCAAAUUUUAGAUGCGCACCAGCUUCUUUCUUCACCAUAUUCUUGGUUGUAGUAUAUACUUAAAUUAGGUGUCAGCCUAGAGCAUGAGGUGCCACUUACAAGCACCCACAUCUUAAAGCUAUCGAUAAAUGUGCAAAUUGAUCUAUUUGAUAAUUAAAUAUUCUAGUUAGGUAUAGUGACUAGUCAUCUCAACAGCAAGUUCAAGUAGAUAUCUAUUUAAGGCAACCUUUUAGUCCUGUUUAUUUCUAAGAGAGCCUAAUUCCCAGAAAAUAAUUAAAAGAAACUACUUAAAUAGUAAGACAAAGUAUCCAAGCCAAAAUGCCAUUACCUCUUCAAUUCGAUGCUUCAGUUGAAUAAUACUCUCUUUCGAAAAGGCUCGGAAGGUGCCACCUAUUGUUACUGAAUCUGGGAUCACAUUGAAGGCCCCACCUCCUUGAAAAUUUCCAACAGUUACAACCUGCAAAAUAAAGCAUGGACCAAACCAGAAGGAAACGCUUAUGUGCUGAAAUGUAAACAAGAAUAAAUUCCCAAAGUUUAAUAUAGCAGCAGUACUUUAGUAAGUACACUGAACAAACUGAUGGGAUCCUGGGAGUAGCAAUCAAAUAAACAAUUUGUAUAAUUCUUGUGGUGCAAAAUCAAUUUUUGUAUUUGGUACUACGUACAAAUACCUAUAUUGAGCAAUUAAUGAGUGUAAAACUUAAGUUUUGGAAAUUGUAUAAUAAUGGAUACAGAAGAAUAUGUGCUGCCUAGUUAUAACACGUCCAGGCAAAUUAGGGCUGGCCUGUUGGGUAGUCUUCUAGGUUACAUGUUAGUAGCAGGAUAAAAAGUUCAACAAGAUCUUGACAAAUUUCAAAUAGAUCUCCCAACACACCUCAAAUCAUUCCAUAAAAUUUGUUCUAUUCUUGUUCUGUAGUUUAGACCAACAAAGCAGUACAUCACGAAACUUGUAUGGAAGGGAGAUAUGUAAAUCAUAUAAAUAGAAAUAGAAAGAGUCAACCAAGAACAUGCUUCCUUGCUUGGAAAUUUAUGGCAUACAAUAACAAAUUAAGUCGGCCAAAGAUGGGACAGUACCUGUGAGUCCAAAGGAUCAGCUUCCCGUGAAACAAGUUGCUGAAUGCUCACAAUAACAUUUGAGGCAGCCAAUAUUGGAUGUAUAGUGUGAUGAGGAAGUGCAGCAUGCCCUCCCUUUCCACUUAUUACAGCCUCAAAGACUCCACCCCCAGCCAUAUAUAAUAGGCCCUGGUCUAGAUUCCAGCACACCAAUAGGAAAAGAGUUAGCUACGUGAAGCCCGAAAAUGGCAUCUACGUUUUCCACAGCUCCAGCUUCUAUCAUUUUCUGGGCCCCACCACCACCACUUUCCUCAGCUGGUUGGAAAACCAGGACUACUGUACCCUACAGUAAUCAACAAGAUAUUCAUAACCAUAUAAAAUUCGUAGGUGACUAAAAUUCAAAGAUUAAAAAGAUAAUUCAUAACUGACAUGGAAGCAAGUGAACUAAGAGACUUAACCAGGAGAAUUGUCGAUGUGGACUACCAGGUUUAGUCGUGUGCUGUCCAAGCAUAAUAAUUACUUAAAUCAAUUUUUGACAGACUAAACAGUCGUACUCACUUUCCCUACAAACAGAAACAUAAGCAAUUGACACAAGUUCUAAAUCUAUUGCCGAGAUUAAAAAUAUUGAAUAUACUGAUAAAAAAGCAGAGGGAGGUAAUAUAUUGCACUUCAUAGGUCUACCCCUGGGGGAAAAGAAUGACUUUCUAGGACAAAAGAAGCUACCUCUUACAAAAUAUAGCAUCCAUUUUUAAGUUGUUCAAAAUAAAAUAUAAGAAAAAACUACAAGUAGAUAACAGUACAAAACAGUCUUAGUCUUAGGGAUCCAGGAAUUAAAAAGUAUGAUUGGUUAAUAAUUAUUAUAAGAAAAAAUAUCAUUACAAUAUUUCUUUCAGAAAAAAGGUAAAAAAACUGAGGCUGCAUCCUUUUCGUUUGCCCAAAUCCAAAAGGAUUGAUGGUUUUGGCUAAUGCAGUGGAAGUAAGGGAAUGAUCACAAUAUACAAGUGCUAACAUCUUCUAUAGGUUUUGAAAGCUAUUCUCCCAUUAAUUACACAAAUCUCCCUUAUCAUUGCUUGGACAUACAUAACAGGCACUAGUGAACAACUGAACAAUAGAAUUAAUGUGAGGAACCUCAAGUUACACCCAUUUAAUCAAGUCAUCAACCAUUGAUCAACUUAAAUAAAUAAGAAUAACUCCGGUCGUCCUUGAGAUGUGAGCAUUGCCCAGGAUUUAUACACACCUCACAAGCACAACAAGAUGAACACCAUCACAACAUAAGCAUUACACACAUAGUCCAUCACCUUACAUAAAAGAGUUAAAGUCACGUACAUAACAAGUUCAUAGAGUUUGUUGCGGAAAGUUCUAUCAUCGCUCUCAACAUAUGAUACAACACAAAAUAAGAGGGUUAACACUAUAUGCUGAUAGUGCCUUCUCAUAGCCAUGUCCAUCACUUCCUACCCGCACAUCCAUCCGUGGGGAAGAAGUACCCAAAGGCGGCCUCCGGCUGCGGAUCACCUGCAACAACUUAACGGCGGCACCGUGAGUACAAAAGGUACUCCGCAGGUCUUAUCUAAGUAUGGUAUAUACUUGCCCGACUCUCAAGGAGAAUGCAUUUGGUUAAGUAACAAGGAAUGAGAGGGAGAGAGAGCUGCAAGGAGCUCUGGUUAGGCUUGAGACAUGGGCUGAUGUUUGGGGUCCGUGGGGGCGACGUGGCGCAAAAGUUUUGCGCACGCGACACACACCGCAGUGUGCUGGCGGACCGUCCGCGGUUGACGUGGCAAAGGAGUUGAGUGAGUCAUGCUUGACCAAGGUCAACAUGAUGACAUGUAUGGCGGACCGUCCGGCCCCCAUGGGCGGACUAUCCGCAGGUACCCAAAGAAAGCAUCAACUUUUAUUAUUUGCAACUUAAUUUAAUGCUUAAUGAUGCUCAUGAUGACAUGCUUAACUUAAACAAGAUUAAGGCCUUUACGAUUAAUCUAAUACCACCAAAAAUAUGCACCAAAACUAUGUCCCCUGGAAGGAAGGAUUGCACAUCCAACUGUUGCUAAACCAUUUACGAUUUAUUCAUAUUUAAAUUCAAAUUCAGAUAUCUCACUCAAAGUUUGAAUAGAGAACGUCAAAUAUUUCAGAACUUUUAAUUAUACAAUAAGAAAUUCUCAUUGCUUUAUAACUAAAUAAAAAAUAUUUCAACCAACCUUCAACUCAUCAUGAUGCUCCUGAAGAACCUUGGCACAUCCCAACAGCAUAGCAACAUUUGCAUCAUGUCCACAUCCAUGCAUCUUCUCAGGAACUUUGCUCUUGUGCUCCCAUUCCACGCUUUCCUGUAAAACAAGACAUCAAUUUUAACUAAUGGGAAUACAGAAUAAUUGUACUUCAGAAUCCAGAUUGGGCUACCAGAGUUUACCACUAUUAAAUUGCUUGACAGGUUGCACAAACACUAGAAAUCUAAUUGCUUUCCGGUGUACAGCACAAGUACUUUUAAUCUAUGGUUUCCCUGAACUCAAUCCUCAAUAGUCAAAUUUUGCAAUGACCACCGGAAUACAAGUAUAUUUAAAAGAACUCAGAGGUGCGGAAGAACUUUGAUGGAGCGGCGUACCUUUUCCGUGCAUCAGCUGCGUGUUUAUAUAGGCGAGGAAAAUCCCCUCGCAUGGAGUUACAAUCGGAUCACAAGUUGGUUGGGAUGGGCACUACCUUGGAGUCCAAGCUAAAUACAUAACCUAUCUAUUGUUACAACAAACAAACCUUUACAGAUAAGUCGAUCCCAUCUCAACUGAUCACCUUAAACAAUACAAUGUCGAUAUCUCGUAUAUACUUCUAAUAGCCCCUCUCAAUCAUAACUGAGCUAGGUUAAGAUUGUGCUUGAAGUUCUCCAAUUUCUUAACAGAAAGAGCUUUUGUAAAACCAUCUGCCACUUGAUCUCAUGUCGGCACAUAAUCAAUCUCGAAUAACCUUUGAUUCCUUAUCUUACAAAAUGAUAUUCUACUUCAAUAUGCUUUGUUCUAGCAUGAAAGACAGGAUUAGCAGAAAGAUACUUAGCUCCAAUGUUAUCACACCAUAUCCUUGCAGCCGCUGGAUAGGAACUCCUAUCUCCUUAAGUAAGGUUUGUAUUCACAUAAUCUCAGCAGUGGCAUUUGCUACAGCCUUGUAUUCCACUUCUGUGCUCGAUCUAGACAUUAUCUAUUGUUUGCGAGCACUCCAAGAAACUAAAUUACAACAAAAAAAAAAUCACAAAGCCUCCAGUAGACCUUCUGUCAUCUAGACAACCUGCCCAAUCUGCAUCAGAAAAACCGCUGACAAGCAUGGACUUAGACGUAUGAAUGUUCAGCCCAAUUUUCGUACACUGCUUGAGGUAUCUCAAAAUACGCUUGACAGUUGCCCAAUACACGGUUGUAGGAGCAUGCAAAUAUUGGCACACUUUAUUUACAGGAAAUGCAAUAUCUGGUCUAGUGAGCGUCAAGUAUUGCAAAGCCUCUACUAUACUUCUAUAUCUUUUAAGUAAAUCAUACGCAUAUUUGUCUUGAGUAAGAAUAAUUCCAUCACAAACCUUGCUGACUUCUAUGCCCAAGAAAUAAUGAAGCUCCCCCAAAUCCUUCAAUGAAAAUUCUUGCUCAAGACUGUGUAGGAGCUUCUCAGUUACACCUUGAACAGAACUUGCUACUAUGAUGUCAUCAACAUAAAUUAGCAAAAAUAUUGUCACACCGUUAGUGUUAAAAUAAAACAAUGAUGUGUCUGCCUUUGAGGACUUAAACCCAAGACUGUAUAGCUUCGCACUUAGUCGAGAAUACCAUGCCCUUGGAGCUUGUUUCAACCCAUAAAGAGCCUUGUCCAACUUACACACAUAAUUAGGCAUGGUCUUGUCUUCAUAACCUGGAGGUUGUCUCAUGUAGACUUCUUCCUCUAGUAUUCCAUGAAGAAAGGCAUUUGUACAUCGAGCUGUCGUAGACUCUACCCUUGUGAAAUAGCAAUAGAUAAAACAGUUCUGAUGGUUGCAGCCUUAACAACAGGACUAAAGGUAUCUUCAUAAUCUACCCCAUAUCUCUGCUUAAAGCCUUUAGCCACUAAGCGAUCCUUGUAUCUGUCUAAGCUACCAUCAACCUUACGCUUAUUUUUAUACACCCAUUUACAGUCAGUGAUAUUGUUGCCUUUCUGUGGUGGAACUAAAUGCCAAGUCUUAUUUCAAAGUAAAGCAUCAUAUUAUAUAUCCAUUGCAUGUUUCCAGUUUGCAUCUCCUAAAGCCUUUGAAGUAUUUUGUAGCUCACCAAUAGAAGUAAAGAAUCCAUACCGAACUGUACCGUCAGUAUACACCUUGGGUUUGCAUAUCCUAUCUCAAAGGUGAGUAUGUGGUCGUCGAUGUGGUUCUGCUAGUUCAGACGGAGCUGCCGCAGAAGAUCCAAUUUCGGCUCCCCUAGGAUUCGAGGCAGAUCCGGCAGGUGGAGCUAUAGCAGGAUCCGCCGCUGAUGCACGCGCUGUCGGGAGGUCACCCGACCGCCUGUCGGGUGAAGGUGGUGUGGCAGUGCCGGAGAGGCCACGCUCAGGCGAGGCAACAGGGUGCCCUCGCCACACGUCGUACAAAGAUGGGAGGUGCACGCCCAUCGGUGAUGGAGGAGUGCGGCCUGCCGCAUUGGGAUCCGCCUAGCGCAGCCCAUGAUCCGAGGUAGAUCCCAUUCACUGCUACAUGGCACGGAGUGAAUCUCCUCCGGCACCUGAGCCUAGAAGGGUGCUGUAAUUUGAUGUACCACUGGUAGUAUGGAUCUGGUCAUUGCCGGAGUACUUCUCCCUCAUCGCCAACUUCUCCAAAUCUCUCAUGAUGUGGUCAGUAGCACCGGUAUCCAUGUAGGUAGCAGCCGCGACAUUCUUCAGGUCUGGCACAUAGUUUUCAUCAAACCUAUGCCAGUAUCUAUCAGUUGUGUGUCCCCUCUUGAGGCACACCUGACAUAGUGAGCAUUCGGUGGAGUUGUUGUUGAAGUGCUGGUUGGAGUUGUUGCUGUUGUUGGGUGGACGCGAGUUGGUGUUGUUCAUGGUGCCUCCUCCCUAGCCACGACCAAAGCCUCCACGGCCAUGGUUGUUGGAGCCGCCACCACAACGUCCUCGGUUGCCCUUCCCUCCACGGUUUGCCAUGUUGGCAGAUGAACUGGAGGAAGAGUGGCCACUGUGGAGCUCCAUCCUGGUUUCAAAAGCAAGAAGCUGCAAAUACACUUCACUUACCGAGGGCGCAUCUAAUCUUGCAACAAGAGCAGACACAAUGGGGUUGAAGUCGUGAUCAAGCCUAGUGAGGAUGUGCUCGAUGAGUUCCUCUUUUUCCACCGGUCUUCUAGCGGUGACCAUCUCGUCACCUAGGGCCUUCAUCUUCCCAACGUACUCCGCGACCGUCAUGGAUCCCUCCUAGGUGGUCGCAAGAGCUAGGCGCGUGUUCACCGCAUGAGUUUGGGUGCGUGAUGAGAACAUGUCUUCAAUCAUCUUCCAGGCUUGAGCUGCUGUCUCCAUCGCAGCUAUCUGUCCCAGCACAUCCUUGCACACGGAGGUGAGUAGAAAACCAAGGACUUGCUGGUCCGAGGUAUACCACUCAUCCCAUGCCGGAUUUGGGAUCUUGACAUCUUUGCCGGCGGCAUCCUUCCCACCAGUUUCAGCAGGAGGUGCAGCCUUGGCACCGGUGAGGUACCCUUGGAGACGUUCUCCACGGAGGGUUGCAAGGACCUGGGCCCUCCAUGUGGCGUAGUUGAGCCUGGCGAGCUUCUCUGUCAUGCUCUGGCCAGACAAGGGAUUCAUGGCAGCUCUGGAGGAUGAAGCCAUGGCUUGAGGUGGAUUGGAUCUAAGGAAAGUUGGCUCUGAUUAGCAUAAAAGAACUUAGAGGUGCGAAAGAACUUUGGUGGAACGGCACACCUUUUCCGUGCGUCAGCUACAUGUUUAUAUAGGAAAAUCCCCUCGCAUGGAGUUACAAUCGGAUCACAAAUUGGUUGGGAUCGACACUACCUUGGAGUCCAAGCCAAAUACAAAAUCUAUCUAUUGUUACAGGAAACAAACCUUUACAAAUAAACCUCUACAGAUAAGUCGAUCCCAAUCUCAACUAAUCACCUAAAACAAUACAGUGUCAAUAUCUCUUAGAUACUUCUAAUAGUAUUCGGGUUGAUUUAUAACAAGAGCAUAUUGAGUUUGAAUGCCUAGCAAAUUUACACCGUUAGCGUAUUGAAAGGCGUUGUUUUAGCUAUCGAUAACUAGACCUAGGAAGCCUUCUAUCAUUAGCAAAACCUAGAAAUUAUUUCCUCAAUUCGCAACAAAAUCAAGAAGCAGAGGAACCCAACACAGUAGGAGGAGAGUAGCCAAGGGCCAGCCAGCGCAACAGACCUGCAUGGGUAGCGCGUCCAUGUCCACCCGGAGCACGACGAAGGGUGGGCCCCUGGUGCCGAUCGUCGCGACCACCCCGGUGAUGGCGAUGGGGUGCCUGUAGGGGAUCCCCAUGGUGUUGAGCUCCCAGCGCAUGAGCUCGCUAGUCUUGAACUCCUCGUAGCCCAGCUUAGGGUUCUUGUGAAUCCGCCGCCGCACCCCGACUAUCCAGUCCAGGAAUGCCGGCUCCUUCGCCCGCCGCAGCAGCUCCGCAGGGUCCUCCAGCGCCGCCGCCGCUGAAGUCCAGACCACUGUGGAGGCGACGGUGAGGGUGGCAAGCAGGAGAGGCGCCACCGUGGAGGCUAUUGUGCUACUUGCUGGUUCGCUUCAGUUGAUGACUGAUGAGGUAGCUUCGCUUUUGAUGAGGGCGGCGGUUGAUUUCCUUUUUCUUUUUCCUCCCAACUUUUUUCCUUCCCAGUCACUAAAAAAACCUUUUUCCGUCCCAUUUCCAGCCCCGUGCAACUUCCUUCCUAUUUCCAGCCCCGUGUAGCUUGUGACUCUGCUGACUGCUUGGCUAAAAAUCAGGUAUGUUUAGCUUCAUUCGGGGUGAUGAGAUUUUUUUAUUUUUAACCCCAAUUUUAUUUGCACAGUGUGAUCCUUUUGAUCGCGCCGUGCGCCGUGGCGAAGCAGUUAGCUGCUGCCGCGCCACAUGCACUGGCACUAGGUUUAGGAUUUCAUUUUGAAUUUUUCAUGAUUUAUAAGUUUGUUAUGUAGUAAUGGAUGCUUAGUUUAUACGCAGUCGACUCUCUGCCCAUAAUUUUAACGUGUAGAAGUAGUUGCAUGCAUCGAUUUAUAUAGUUGUUGAUGUAUUUGUGUGGUGUACAUGGCAUGUGUAGGUUUAUUUGUUUAUUAUGUCAAAUUAAUGUAGUUUAUUAUUGUUGUUUGUAGUAAAUGACCUAUAUUUGGUAUGUUAAAAUCUUUGCAUUUUGUAAAUGGAUCGUUUAGUUCGUAUGUUUCAUGGUGGGAUUAUGAAAGAGAAUGGGGAGUUUGAGAAUAUGAAUGAGGUAGUGGAGUUGUUCGAUGCUUGUCCAAGUUUUAAAGAUUUAGUUGACCGUGUAAUGACAAAGUAUGGAUGUGGAGUGGAUGAGAUGACAUUGAGAGGCCGUUUUGAUUGUAGGAAAGCUAGACCUCAUUAUGUUCUCAUGAAUUUGGCAUGCGAGUCUAAUUGAAAGCAAUAGAAGGAGGUAGUUGAGCAUGCAAAUGUUGUAUGUUUGGACGUGGUAGUUGAUAUUUGUCGUAGGCCUAGCACAAAUGUUGCCUUGAGAGAUGAACUCCAGAAAGUGGUUGAGAAUGGUACCCAAGAGUCAACAAUUUUACAGCAUGGCUUAGGUAAAAGCCAAUCUGAUUUUGGCUUGGCCAUUGGAAUGAUGAUUUUCCUAAUGAUACUUUUGAGCGGGAAGAAGCAAACAUAGAUGAUGAUGACAUAACUCUAGGUUCUGAAGAUGAUGAUGUUGAGGAGGAGGAUGGGGUAGAAGAUAUUCAGGCCAACGCGCAUGAAGAUGUAGUAGUCAGAGAUGGAUUUGAAUGUGAGGAGGAGGAGUCACAAUCUGAGGAGGAUGGGCCUAAAUCUGAGGAGGAGUCAGAAUCUGAGGAGGAUGGGCUGCAAGUCAACACUACAACCGUGCAUGAUAUAGAGGACAUUGGUCGUGUGGACAAAUGUUAUUCUUACACCUCUAAUGAGUUGUAGUUGUUGAAGGAAUGUCAUGUCGAACUCCUGUCCGUUCCCAAUACUAAGGACAUAAGCAUGGUCCGAAAAGUCUUAUUGAAUCUACUAUGGUGAAUUCGGAAGGAAUAAGCUAUAGUGAGAAUCCAGUGAUUAAGAAGGGAAUGAAGUUCAACAGUCUUAAGGAGCUCAAGUUUUUCUUGGAUGACUACGUAGUGAGGUUACAUAAGCCUUUCAGUGUAGUUCACUCUGACAAGAACCUAAGGUAUGAUGUCAUGUGCAAGCAAGGAUGCAUGUGGCAUGUAUGGUCCCACCUCAUUAGAAGCACGGGACAAUGGAGGAUUUCAAUGGUUGUGCAACAUCAUACUUGCCAUUCUUCUCAGCCGAAGGGAGUGCACACAUAGUGCACAGCUAUGUACCUUGGGCGGCGCAUCCUAGGCAUUGUCCGCGUCGACAGCGAGACAUCAGUGCCAUCUCUUGUGGAGUCCAUAUUUUCCUUUAGUGGAUACCAUGUCAAGUAUUCAAAGGCAAGGUGGGCGAAACAUGCCAUUGCACUACUUUGAGGAGACUGGAAGGAGUCAUAUGGCAUGGUUCCUAGGGUCCUCACCGCUAUGGCCUACUAAUAUCCCGAGAUUAAAUGGUUCCCUCACAUGUCCGGCAUGAUGCAACCUGACGAUGGUGUUUAUAAGCAUGUCCUCCAAAGGGUUUUUUGUGCUUCCCACAAUGUCGUGUAUCUUUCCAACAUUGUCGUCCUGUGAUACUUGUUGAUGCUACAUUCUUGACCGAGAAGUACAAGGGUACACUAAUGAUGGUUGUUGCUGUAGAUCUAGAACAACAGCUUGUGCCUCUAGCUUUUGCCUUGGCCGAGAGUGAGAACAACGACAGUUGGUCAUGGUUCAUGAAACUCGUUCGCCGAUACAUACUUGGACCGUCACGGCAAGUAUGUAUGAUCUUAGAUUGGCACCAUGGCCUCCUAAAUUGUGCGAACGACCAUAUGGAUGGCUUUCCACCACUUGUGCAUAGGUGGUGCAUGAUGCAUUUUGCUGCCAAUAUGUGGCGUCGACAAAAGAACAAGGAAGUGAUUGGAAAGUUGAAGGUUUUAUGCAUCGUACAUACGGAGAAAGAAUUUGAAGAGAAGUUAGAAGACCUAGUGAAGGACUUGAAUGAUGAGGCAAAACAAUGGUUGAAGGGUGAAAUGGAGGAUAAACACAAAUGGGUGUAGGCUUUCGAUGAGGGAGGGAUGCGCUAUAGUAUUAUGGCCACAAAUUAUUCGGAAUCCUUAAACAAUGUUUUCAAAGGCAUCCGAAGUAGACCCGUAGCCGGAAUUAUCGAGUACUCUUUCAAAAAUGCAAUGAGUACUUUGUGGACAGAUGGCGGAAGGUACGUGAUUUGUUGAAUGAAGGUUAUAGGAAUCAUAAGAUUGCAGAUGGUCAUAUAUUAGAUGUUGAGCUAAGGUCUAUUAACCAAUUAGGAGAACUGUACAGGCUAGAAAGAAUGGUAUAUUGUGUAAGAGGUGCUGGUGGUACUAACGUUGGCGGUGAGAGUCAUGGAGGCCGAAACUAUAGAGUGGACCUCAACGAAGGUGCGUGUACCUGCAAGGUUCCUCAACUGUUGCACCUUCCAUGUUCACACUUGAUUACAUCUUGCAAGGUUAGAGGUCUUAACUUUGAAAGCCCCACGUAUAUGUCACCAUUGUACUAUAGGGAACACACCAUUAAAAUUUGGAAAUCUAGCUUUGAACCGUACCUUGAUCCUUUCCAAUGGCCGCCAUAUGAAAGUCUAGAGUACAUGCCCGACUCCGCUUCGAAGAGAGACAAAAAUGAUAGGAGGCAGAAGAAGCAUUUUAAAGGCGACAUGGACGAGUUGCAAGGGAGGUUUUUAGUUGAUGCCGAGUCAGAUAAUCGUUGCUCCAAGUGCCACAAGUUCAUUAGGGACUGUACAUGCCGUAAGAAGAAAUCUAAGGGGGAAAAAGAAAGCAAGCGUUCUUGCAAUGCUUAUGUAGCAUCAUAGACACUACCUAUAGACAUCAUAGGUUGGGACUGCCCUUAGUGGCCAUCUGGAUCCUCUCCUGGCGACCUAUCUGGUCGGGCCCAUCAUUAGCAAUUUGUUGAAAGGUAUUUAAGGUUUAAGCUGCACGAUGGCUGUGAGCAAUUUGUUGAAUUCAAUAUUUAUGGGGGUUGAUUAAAAGAUUGCAGGGUGAGCAACGAAGGUUGAGAAAAUCCAUGUAGAGUGAGAGAUGUGCUGCGUGAUGAUGAAUUAGUUCGCAGUAGAGGUUAAGGCCGAAUAUGGGAGAGGGCCCAAUCCAUCAAUAAUGUGUAUCAAUAUUCCUUGUUUACCAAAUUUGUUAUACAUAUAUUAUCAUUUCCCGUAUCAACGGAUGAUCGAAAUUAUUUUCAGAAGUACCCUGCAAAAGAACUAUAACACACCUCACAUAUAUCAAAUUAAUUCCUUUGAAACAAUUUCAAUCUAUUGUAAACUAGACAGAUCCUUGCAAGAGGCAAUGAGAGAAUUAAUCAAGUUGUUUUUCCACAAUGAUCAAUGAUGACUAAAUGGGAAAUUCUUGCAUGCUGAGGGAUAAAGGAGGUUUAGCAAUCUGUGUAAUAAAUGCUUGCAUAGUAAGUGGUUAUUUAAACUUAUUAAUGAAGAUAGAUUAAGGAAAACCUAAGGAGGUUUGGAACAAUUACACGAGUUGAAAAUAUACCUAGAGUUUCUAAUUUUUGGUCUGGCCUUAUGAAGGUUAAAAAAGACUUUUUGAGCACGAGCUGAUUCAACUUAGGUGAUGAGACUUAGAGAAAAUUUUGAGAGGAUGUCUAGUUCAGUUGUAUGGCUCUUAAAGGUCAAUAACUAGAAAAUAUGCGCGGCAUUACCGCGCUUGCAGCUUUUUUUUUUUUGUCUUAGAUGACCCGUACCAAAGGUGCAUGUAUCCAAGCAUAUCAAAUUGAAUUUGAAUGAAGAUGUGCCUCAGUUUAUAUUUGGUCAAGCCAUAGUAAUUUGAUCAAGUGCCUGAAGAGCUCGAACCUCAAUUUUUUUUUUCAUCUCAAUGUAUAAAAAACCAUAGUAAUUUGUUUCAUAUAUAUUCAGACAUUUUUCAUCCUUGAUGUCAAAAUCGCAUGAAUCCUCAGCAUGUCACCAUGGGGCAUGGGCCACUGCAUGUCUGUACCUUACAGGAUGUGUUCGCUGAACUUAAGGCCAUUGCUGCAUAAACAAUGAUGACAGCCCGAAAAAAACGACGAAUGAAGCUUGAAAAAUAUUCCUUUGCAUAUCAAAUUGUAAAAAAAGGCAGUUCCUGCAUAAACAACGAUGAAAAAAAUGAUGAAUGAAACAUGAAAAAUAUUCCUUUGCCAUCUUUGUAGCACAAAUGCUCGAAUAUAACAAUACAAGUCACAUCUUUAAAACGAUAUAAUGAAACUUUCAUAUGGAGUGAGUGAAGUUCAUCCUUAUGUUUCAAGAUUUUAGGAAUAGUUGGCUGAGGGAGAAUAAGUAAAAUGCUAGUUACAUUCCCGAUACUGUUAUGUACCAUGACAUUUGAAACUAAAUUGUAUAGGUGGCUAAUAUGAUCUUUGCCUGCUCCAAAAGGGUCCUAAGAUCUUCGAUGGGAUAAACAUGUUUGCAAGUCCCAAUUUGCAAUUAUUACCUCAGUUGUUAGAUUCAAACAAUUUUUUAUUAUAUGAAAGAGCUAUUAUGUCACUUCUCAUAGAAUUUGCAACCAAUUUUGGGAAUAAUGUUAUUUUAUACACCCUUUUAAAAUACUAAAGCAGUUCUGUGAUUGCCAGUGUCAAAAUUGUACAAAGUAGUCAGCUUUUGUUGAGCCUUGUACAUUGAGAUAAAAAAAAUUGAGGUUCGAGCUCUUCAGACACAUUGUAGGCUGUUGAGAAAAGGUAGUUUCCUUCAUUAAUAAAUAAUAAUGGAACUGGGUGAACUUGAUCAAGCAGUAGGGCAUAUAUAUUGCAGACAGUAAGGCCUUAUUUCUGCUUUUUAUUUUCAGUAUUAGUGUCACAUAAAUCUGAUCGGCCAGUAGGACAUAAAUAUUGCACUUGCAGGUAGUACAACAUUAUUUCUCCCUUUUAUUUUCAAUACGGAUGUUGCAUAAACAAUCACAAGAGAAUUGCUAGAUUAGUCAUUAUAGCUGAUGGCAAAAGUUAGUUUAUGUAAAAUCUGUUGAGAAUUUCGUCGUGCAAAACACAAUGAGAAAUAAUUUCACCUGUUGAUGGUACGCAGAAGUUUAACUGAGCUUUUCCGUAUUCAGGGUCUUCUGGAAAGUUGGUACACCUAACUUGUGUUAACUGUAUAUAUGGAAUAUUUGGGUUCAAAUUAGCAAUACUUGUGUUAAAUAACUGCCUUUCCUGGAGGAGCUGCUUGACUGACAGAUAGUAGCACCCCAGUCUAUUUGUUAUUUAGUAGAGUAAUACUAUUUGUCUUUGAAAGAAUUUCUUUUUAUGGUUGAGUCCCUUAUCACUUAUGUAUUAUUAAAUACUAAUGAUGUUGUUUUCUAGCUGUUCAGUUUCAAGUUAGGAAGGAUAAGUACGAUAAUAUGUAGGCCAGCUAAGUGUUGUUGGUUUAAUUUCUAGCAUUUAUAAAAUUAGAAACUGAAUAUCGCAUUUGUCUUCCAGCAUCUACCAUUAGGCUAGAAGAUAAGCCUUUGAGGAUAGACUAAUUUUUUUGUAAAAUGCAACUUAUUUCGUACCUCUAUUAUAUUUCUUUUCAGCUAGUAGGUGGUAACCUGUUGAAGAGUGCAGAUUGCCAGUGUAAAUACCUCUGCUCUCAAAAGUUCAAGCUUGUGUGAAACAUGGGAUCCUUUUUGGCCUACUGAUGGAAUUUGAGGGAAAAUCAGGCACCUCCAGCUUGCCAUUGUUGACUCCACAAUGUUGCUCCAGCACUCAGUAUGCAGGACACAUAGCUCCCUAGGCACUGUACAAAAUACAUGGCAGUUAUGUAGAUGCAGUAGAUUCACACAUCACCAAAUCAGGUGGACUAAAUUGUAGUGGCGACCAGUUGCCCUAUUAUGGUGAUGAACAGGAUAUUUUGUGGCAGUUCUGAGUACAAACCUGAGCUGGAGAAGUUGCUCUUGGCUUCUUCUCGUCUCAAAACUGCUUGUUGUGCAGUGUCUAACCUCGUUGCCACCAGCUCAAUGCAGCCAUCACUAUUGCAAGCGACUGAAUGUUGUGCAGCCAGAAAAAUGGAUGCUACUGACGCCUGAUCUUGUGUCCCUGGGCUCCGGCAAGGAGCGCGGGUCAGAAAUAACAUCGAACAUGUGGUGUGCUCCGUGGCAAUUGGGUUGAGAUCGACGGUCUGAGAAAGAAGCAAUGAACGUGAAGCAGGUUGGAGGCAACAUAGCACGUCUUGUGUUCUUUUUUGUACUCACGCUGAUGCCGAUCAUGCUGGUUCCUGUGCUACAUCUCGUCACCGUCAAUGCGUAGCAUUCGCCUCCGUCGUGGCAUCAAGGGCAUUCCACCGAACACCUCAUAAGUGCCAUCAUGUGAGAACAAUGAAGAAGGAACCCGCCCCACUACUUCUUGACCCCUGCGGCCCUCCUGGCCGAGCACGAGCUGGCCUCGACCACUGUCGAGGGGCUAGGCAGCAGGCACCAAGCAGAAAGGAGGCGGGAUGCAGGCGCGCUGCGGGCACAGGGGUGGGCUCUAGGUGCGACGCGGCGGGAGCGGGGCCGGGCUAUGAUGUAUCUGGUGGUACUAGUUUGGUAUUAUAAUUUAUAAGUAUUAACACUUUUUCAUAUGAGCUUGGUCAAACUUAAGUUACAUUGACUCUCUGACCAAUCCUAGAGGUAGACUGUUUGUGGAAUGGAGGGAAUGUUUGAUAUUGUGUCGGUAUGCAAAAUAGUACUAAUUGUUAAGAGAGGAUGUUCUAUUAUGUGAAUUAAUUGAUGCUAUAACAUUGAUGCCUGCGAUAGAAAUGACAGCCAAGAGGUGAUAGAUGAUUUAGCUAAAGUCAAGAGGAUCUGCGUAUGGAAAGCAAUUAUUGGCAGGCAAUCAACGGGGACACGUUUUAGAAGGGCAUAUUUGACCAUUUACUAUUCUUCUUAAUCUGUAUGAAAAAAGCUAAACGUAGCUAUAUUUUUGGACGGAAGGAGUAUAUGAUGAGGAUGGAUCCUUCGAGCAGGAAAAAUUAACUGGUACUCCCUCUCUAUCUCUAGAUAUAAAGGAUUUUGGUACUCCCUCUCUAUCUCUAGAUAUAAAGGAUUUUGAGUUUGUUCAAAGUCAAACACUCUCAACUUUGACUGUCUAAUGAAAUAUUUACAGACAUUAACAAAGUCUAAAUUAUAUUAUUAGAUUCAUGGUAGAAGCAAGUAUCAUAAUAUAAGUAUCAUAAUAUGUAACUUUUUUUAUUUAAAAUAUUUUAUUUUUAUAGACAUUGUUAAUAAAAGAAGUUUGACUUUACAAAACCUAGAAUCCCUUAUAUUUAGGGAUAGAGGGAGCAGUUCAAAAAGAAAAAAAAAAGACUGGCAAGCGGUAGCAUUGGAAACCACCCGCGGCAGCCGGCAGGCCUGGCGCACAAGAGAGCCCAAACGACCUGGUGCUGCUGCUCUUGUAAGGCCCAAACAUAAAUGGUACCAUCAGAAGUGCACAAUCGCUACACUGAUGGAAGAAAACAAACAAAAAACAAGAAAACGACUCCUAUCCGCAGACUUUAUCGCCUUCGGUGUUGUUCCUAGAGCACGGUUGACUCCUUGUGUCCAUUAUUCCACCGUAUCAGGUAUCGGACAAAACUCGAGCAUAUGCUAAUCUAAUGAUGCAGCAUCCAAGAUGCCGCCGAGCUCGAAUUUAGGUUUACACCUCGAGAGUCAUGAUCGCAGAGAUGGGUUCGAUGACAACACCUCCAAAGAGGUGCAUGGCGUCCAACGACGACAUCGUCGUCGGCACCGGCAAACGCCGACUAGGCUUUCUCCAUUGAUCCGAGCCCGUCAACCAAACCCCAUGGGAGGCAUCCAUGAGAACCACCAACUCGGUAUCAACGGCAUUGGAACCCACCACUGCUGGGAAAAGCGCCUUUAGUACCGGUUCCUAACCCCCUUCGGUAUCGGUUGUGCAACCGGUAUUGCUACUUAGGUCCUAAAGAGGAUUUUUAGUUUUGGAUCAAAUAACCGGUACUAAAGGGGUAUUAAAAAAUAAUAAAAAAAAGAAAUCCGCCGACCGGAUCCUCAGCCGCACCAUGCCGCCGUCCACCCGAGCACCGGAGCCUCAGCCGCACCACGCCACCGUCCGCCAGAGCGCCGGAGCCUCGGCUGCACCCCGCCGCCAUCCGCUAGAGCGUCGGAGCUCCAGCCGCACAGCACCUGAGCCCCGUACCAGAGAGAGGGAGGGAGGAAGGUGGCGUACUUACGCUGCUCAGCCAGCGCCGUCGGUUGUCGCCGCUGCCGGAUCUGAGUGAGAGGUGGCCGCUCCUUGCUCCGCCACGCCUGCUGAUGCUCUGCCACCGCGCCCUCCCACCGGAGCUCCGCCGCUCCUUGCCCCACCAUCGCUCCUUGCUCCGCCACGCCUUGCCGACGGUCUGCCGCCUCACCGCACCCUCCGUUCUUGCCUCCGCCACUCCUUGCCCCGCCGCCGCUCGUCGCCACAUGUAAGAGGUGAGGGGCAAACGGAGGAGGAAGGAGAGGAUUGGCGACAGGAGGGGUGGCGAGGGGAUCAAUCUAUGUAGGGGAGAGAGGGCGGGGAGAAGAAGAGAGAGACACGCGGGCGAGAGGUCGGAUGAGGGGGAUGAGCGGAUAAGUACGUGUGGGGAGGGGGUGAGCGUGGGGGAGGUUCCCCUAGUACCGGGUGGAGCCUUCAUGCGGUACUAAAUGUCACCCUUUAGUACCGAGUGAAGCCUUCACCUAGUACUAAAGGCCCUCAGGCACAUUAGUACCGGUUGGGGGCUUCAACCGGUACUAAUGGGUGACCUUUAGUUCUAGGUCAAAUAACCGGUACUAAAAGGGUAUUAAAAAUAAGAAAAAAAUAAAUUCGCUAAUCGGAUCCUCAGCUACACCCCGCCACCGUCCGCCAGAGCGUCGGAGCCUCGGGCGCACCCCGCCGCCGUCCGCCCGAGCACUGGAGCCCCGACCGCACAGCACAUGAGCCCCGCACCAGAGAGAGAGGGGGGAAGGGGGAGAGGCGGCAUACUUACACUGCUCAGCCACCGCCGUUGCCGCUCCUCAGCUCGCUGGUUGCCACCACCGUUGAAUCUGAGGGAGAGGUGGCCGCUCCUUGCUCUACCGUGCCAGCCGACACUCCGACACCACGCCCUUCCGUUGGAGCUCCGCCGCUCCUUGCCUCGCCGCCGCUCCUUGCUCCGCCACGCCUCGCCGAUGCUCCGCCACCUUGCCGCACUCUCCGUUCUUGCCUCCGCCACUCCUUGUCCUGCCUCCGCUCGUCGCCACAUGUAAGAGGAGAGGGGUGGCGAUGGGAGGGGCGGUGAGGGGAUCGAUCUGUGGGGGGGAGAGAGGGCGGGGAGAAGAAGAGAGAGAGGCACGGGUGAGAGGCCGGAUGAGGGGGACGAGCGCAUAAGUACGUGUGGGGAGGGGGGUGAGCGUGGGGGGAGGUUCCCCUUUAGUACUGGGUGGAGGCUGCAUCCGGUACUAAAGUCACCCUUUAGUACCGGGUGAAGGCUUCACUCAGUACUAAAGGUCCUCAGGUCAUGGAGGCUUCAACCGGUACUAAUGGGUGAUCUUCCUACGUCGCUUUGAGGUUAACUUUGGGGAAUAUAUUGCUGUGAUUUAAUAACGUCACGGGAGGUCAGACAUAAAUGAGACCAUCCGUUUGACAAGGAGAGCAAUUGAGGCUUUGGAUUUCGUCAAGAGUGGAUGGAUAAGCAAUAUUAGACAAUUGCUUAUAAUUAUUCUCUUCUGAUGUACUCUUCCUCCUUUUAUUUAUUCUUUUAAUGAUCAACUAUUGAGCUGAAGAAUGUGUAAGAACUUAGCUGUGUGCGUUUAUUGCAGAGGCCGGAUGUAUUUCUAUUUUCUAAAAAAAAAUCCACCACGCCAGCAACGCACCAGCAGAUGCUUCUUGUGCAUCGCCUCAUCUGACUGAACCAUACAGAAACGCAUACCACACGGUAUUCUUCUGUAUACGAUUAUCUCUGUACUAUAUCAACUACAAACUGUUCUGCAUUCCCGUGCGUAACCCUGCACCGACGUCGUCGGCGCCGCCGUGUUUUGGCUGUUGUCCCUGGCGAAGAACCCACCCCGGCUUGGACGGGGCCUGGAGGCUGAUCGUGUCGGUGCCGAGCAUCAUCACCACCGAAGACAGCACUGGCCGGGCCGCCGGAUCUCCCUGGACGCACAACAACCCAAUAUGGAAGCAUCUCAACACGUCGCCCUCCGGGAAGCUGCCGUUCAUGGACGGGUCUACCAACUCCAUCACCGUCCCGGCCUCCCAAUGCUCCCAAACCUGCACGGUGGCUUGUAUACAUGAGCCAAACUGUACCAUUACAACAAUAUAAUGGUGAUCAGAUGUUUAUCAGUUCGCGCUUACAGUGUUCAAGAGAUCUCCAGAUUGUUUUGAGUUGUUCCUCCCCGUGACGAUCUCCAGCACCAUGACGCCGAAGCUGAAGGCGUCCGACUUCACCGAGUAGUUCCCGCGCAUCACGUACUCUGGCGCCAUGUACCCACUGAAGCGAGAAACCAAGCAAAAUUUCAGUGACCUUUUCCUUAAGAUAUAUACGCUGAACCUGAACAGAGGUAAAACAGAGUUUUGGUGGUGCUUACUAGGUUCCGACGAUUUGGCUUGUGUUUGCCUGCGUCUGGUCUCGGUCGAAGAUCCUUGCAAGGCCGAAGUCCGAGAUCUUGGGGUUCAUGUUCGCGUCUAACAGGAUGUUGCUAGCCUUGAGAUCACGGUGGACAACUUUGAGCUGCGAGUCCUCAUGGAGGUACUGCAGGCCUCGAGCGAUGCCAUUUAUGAUCCUGUACCUCUGCCUCCAGUCCAGCUGCUCAUGGUUCUCAUUCUGAGUGUCUGACAUGAACAUACAGGAAGUAGGAGUGAUCAAAUGAUGUGAUGGAUACAGAACUUGCCGAGAAAAUGAAGAAGAAAAUUGCAUGGGUCGGGCAAGGUUAAAGCAGUACCGAAGAGGAUCAGGUCGAGGCUCCGGUUGGGGACAUACUCGUAGACGAGCAGUCUCUCCUGCUGCUCAAGGCAGACGCCGACAAGCAUGACGAGGUUCUUGUGCUUCAGUUUGGCCACCAGCGCGAGCUCGUUCUUCAGCUCGUCCUCUCCCUGCGUCGAGCUGUCCGACAGCCGCUUCACUGCUAUCUCGUCGCCGUCGGGGAGGAUACCCUGAACAAAUCAAAGCAACGUAAUAAGCUUCAAUUCAUGGGCAUAUUUUUCAGUUCAGAAAUUCACAAGCCAUGCCUAAUUACUUGUUCAGUAGUUCAGUACCUUGUACACCGCGCCGAACCCGCCUUCGCCGAGCUUGUUGCUCUCGUCGAAAUCUCCGGUCGCCGUUCGCAGGGUGGAGACGUCCAUCAUCAUGGAGUCCACCAUUUCCACAUCCUCUGCUUGAUCUGCUCAAGAAUCAAUGGGACAAGUCAUUUUUUUUCAUGUUUUCAGGAAGCGUGUCGCGCUAUGAGACCAGAGAAUUUUGCAGGAACAUACAUGGCUUCUUCGCUUCCGCAGUUGGUCGCCGCCGCUGCCGCUGCCGCCGCCUCCAGAAACAGAGGCAGGCGACGAGGUUCAAGGCUGCUAGCACAGCCAGCACAACGGCAAGAACAAUACCCGGCACAUUGUAGUUUCUCCUCCCUGUAAAUUAUUGAAUAUGUAAGAAAACAUCACGGCAGUUAAGUGUCACAAACGUAGUUGUAACAGAAAACAGAACAUAUAAACAUAAUAAGUUUCUCCUAAGUGUUACAGAUCUUUUCAUCGCAAACCGAUGGUGGAAAUCGGAAUCGGCGAAAUGAUCCUUAGUGCGGGACAGAUGGUUAUGAAAGUGAUGUCCAAGAGUAGUUGAAAGAUGCAUAAUUUUCAUGUGAUUAAUCAAUCAACACUUACGCACGCGCGCACUAAACAAGAAUCCGUCACUAAAUAAUUUCGAUUCAGACAUUCAGUCUGUACGCGGUCCAUCAGCUUGGACCGUGUGAGAAGUUGCUAUGGCAGUCAAAAGACCGUGUUAGAAGUUGCUUUGACUCACCUUCACCGGCUGCUGGCGGCGUCUCCACGGCCGGUCCCGGCGCCGGCGCUCCAGCGCCCGGUGAUGGCAGCCGCACCAUCGCCGGACCACUGUAGAAGGGCGCGGUCUCGAACCGGUAGGUGCAGUUCACCCAAAGCACCCUGCCUCCGAUAGAGUUCAGGAACCUCGGCAAGCCGUCCGCUAUAAUCCCGGCGAGGCACUUCCGGCAGAGCGCCGGCGGCUGGUCCGGCGGGCACUGCGCCAGGCUGUACACCUUGGGGAAGUUCUUGUCGAAGAAGUCGGCCUGCCCGGUGGCGAACCGCCGCGUGGAGUUGAACGCGGCGUAGUCGGCGGUGGCGUUGAGGAGCGCCGCCAGGAGGGCGUUGAACCGGGGCUGGUCGGAGGUGACGUUGCCGUUGUUGGUGACGCCGUACGCGUCGGUGAUCGGGCCGGUGUCGUCGUCGCCGGCGAGGGUGUGCACGUCGGAGUAGUGGAGCGUGCAGGGGUCGUAGUAGAUGGUGGCGUCCUUGUUGUAGGGGCAGUCGUUCUGCACGUCGCGGAACGCCUGCGCGAGGCAGCUGCCGCAGGCCGUCGCGUUGGCGUCGCCGCGGCAGAGCGCCAUGGCCCAGACCUGCUCCGGCACGGCGCCGACGACAGCGGUGGCGUAGAGGUUCGGCGACGCUGAGGCGUUACCGGGCAGCAUGGCGGCGAGGCGGUUGAGGUUGGCCUGGUACGUGCUCUUGGCCGCGAAGGCGUUCGUCGUGCCGCACACCUGCCAUGGGUAGCCCGCGGCGAAGGGCGCAAACAGCGCGACGGCGGCGACGAUGGUGACCACGGCCACGAAGAGGUGGGGACCCAUGGCGCGCACACGGUGAGCAGAAGGGGGGGAGUCAGGAGCGAGUCAGCUUAUGUAGACGUUGAGGGUGUAUUUGUUACUGGGUCGACAUGGGUCGGAAUGGGUUCAACCCCAUCAUCCUAUGUUUGGUUGGAAAUGGAGUGGGUUGGGUCCGACCCCCCUAGAUGCAAGUCGAACGCAUCUGCCCGAAACGAGCGAACGCCCUCGAUCCGCACGGAUGCUGUGUGCGUCCAUCCGCGCGCGCGGGAAGGAGCCGGCCAGGCACGGGGGCGGCGAGGCAGUGGCGGGGAGGAGGCGGCUUGGCGCGGGGGCGGCGGCCGGCGCCGGGCGGCGAGGAGGCGGCCGGGGAGGAGGGAGCCGGCGCCGGGGUAGAGAGGACGGAGCGGGUGUCGCCGGCGGAGGGACGGAGCGGGUGUCGCCGGCGGAGGGACGGAGCGGGCAGAGGAUGAAGAAGAUGGCGUGGGAAAAAAAUGAUGACAUGUGGGCCCCGCAGCUGAUAGGUGGGAUCCGUUACUAAUGGUGUUAAAAUACCUUCCAUUCCAACCUUCUUCAAUCCCUCCAACAAAACAAAAAACUGGGUCGAAUCCAUCGCUCUCAUCCAAACACGAGAUGGGUCGACUCCAACCCACAAAAGGGGUUGGUUCCAACCCAACCCACAUCAUUCCAAAAUCAAACACAUGUUGAGUAAAUUAGUCUUCGCGAACAUCCCACCCGGCAACUGGCAGUGCAAGUUGUAUGCUUUCUGUCUGGUUUUCUCCAUCUGGGCUAUGAGUACCAGGCUGGAUUUAAGGUAAGGGCAUUCCGUUUUAAUUUUAAAGCAGCUUAAGGUGGCCUUUUAUGCUUUAAUAACAACUCCUAUACAAAGUUGAAAAAGUGAAUGAGAUGUCGUUUCUCUAAACAGGUGAUCCUUACUUCUUAAUGUAAACUAAAAUUAAAGUGGCCCACAUCUUUGCACUGUUACUGUUUGUAUAAAAAAAUCUGACUAUAUGUAAUGUUGCAUUAUGUUAAUUAGUUGUCUCAUCAAUCUAUGUUUGCCUUAUCAUCUUUUUUUAUAUCAUUAUUAUGCCUUUUCAUGUAUCUCAUGUUUGUUUUCCAUCUACGUAUACCCAGGAGCUAUAGUCAAAUAUUUUUUAGAUUCAGCUCUGUACUGUAAUGGCACUGAUUGUGGGAAUUAUUCCGUAACGAUAAUGAUGGGUAAUUAGACUACCGAAGUGACGAGCUUGAUAUGAUCCAAAUUCGAGCUUCGUCGAUAACCCCGGGGGUACUGUUCAAACCUAGAAACUCUAGCUCUAGCUAGUACUGUACGACUACUGUGUUCACGUCAGGAUCAUUCUUAGACUCCAGGGCACCCGGCUUGAGCUCUUAUUUGGUUGGGUCAGCCGGUCAACUGUGGAAGGAAAGGAAGUCGCAGAAGGUGGCUUGGAGCUUCCUUCGCCGUGCGUCGUUCGUUUCUCGCCGUCAUCCCCACAGGAAAACAAUUGGCACCUAAUAAAUUGCGGCAACUUGGCGCACGAGGUUUGUCAAGACAUGGAGGAAAAAAAAAAAG
Molecule: long non-coding RNA, 47591 nt
Filed under: Setaria viridis
Lineage: Eukaryota; Viridiplantae; Streptophyta; Magnoliopsida; Poales; Poaceae
Description: long non-coding RNA (SVIR_LNC005821)
Source: RNAcentral